UCAUCCUCCGAUCCAUCCAUCUCUCGCCCAUAUCUAGUCUAGAUACUAAUAGCUUAGAAGCUAGCCCCACAUCUCGGUCGAUCAUAUCUCAACAAUGGCUUCUCGUGCCGCCACGCUGAAGAUGGCCACUGCAACUGCCCUUGUCCUGCUGGUCCUGCUAUGCAUGGCGACCUCACCUGUGACUGCCUGUACCACCACCUGUCAAUUCGCCUGUGGUACCUUUGCUAUACAAGUCUGCGGUACUUGUUCCACUACCACGACAUGCAUCACUGAGGCUGAAAAGGUGUGUAUCAAGACCUGCACCGAAACCUGGUGCGGUAAGGUAUUCCUGCCAUGCCUCUAAGAAUAUGCAUGCAUGGAUUCGGAUCGGAUGGCUUAAUCGAUCUAUUCCGACUUUCUCGCUAGCGCAUGGUUGUUGUUGCAGAGAAUAAAGGUGAGUGCAUGCAAGGAGGCAGCCCUCUCCCCGUGUGGUAUGUGGGGGAGGGCUUGCAUGCAUGCUUGAUGAUCCACGUUACAUUUUCCAUUUAUAUUCUAGUUAUAUUAUCUUAUUAUCAUCGCAUAUUUCUGCCGCGGGCAUGAUGCAUGGUGCGUACAAUAAGACGACGUCCUACUAGCGUAGGAGUAUUGUAAACCUCUCUCCAUGCAUGUAUAAAUGGAAGGAGGAUUAAUAAUUAAUAUAGUGCGUGCCCAUCUUAUGCCGUUGUGCAUGUCAACAUGUAAUUCCUCUCAGGUUCUACCAGGGGCUUGAGGGAUAUAUACGAUCAUGGUAUUAUCAUUAUAUGUAAUUUAUGAACUUCCCUAUUAUGAUGAUAUAAUAUUGUCCAGAUUAACAAGGCAGCUAGCUUCGUGCCUUGAACUAAUACUGCAUGCGACAAUUCGCUAUAUAUAUAUUCACGAAUUAAAUCUUCUCUCAAGUCACCGGUGCCAAAUCAACAAACUCCACUCUGUGUGUUGGAAUAUAUAGAUAGACAAGUGAAAGACAAGGAUCCUUUAAUAAUUAAAAAGCACCCAAAAGUGUUGGCCAGCCGCCGGUCAAAAAUAAACUUACCAUCUAUAACUAUAAGAUUGACUGAGGGAUGGUUCUUGAUGCUAUGUAUUGAUUGAUUUGGUUUUGGCAUGCUUACUUGAAACACAAACUAUACUAUAUCAUUCUUCCAUUAUCUAGGAAUCAGGUGGGGGAAAGAAUCACUGCACAUUGUAUUCUGCUUCAGUGCUAGAUCAUGAUAUUGUAGCUUGUUUUCAUGCACUCAAUGAUAUAAGAUUGGAGCUAAGAAACACAGCGAAACCCCCUAUUGAUCGAUGAUCAUCAACAUCUUUUGUCCAAUCAGUAUCCGAGAAAGCACUUAUAAAAUUUGAAUAUGACUUUCUAACUUUGAGUCCAAGCUUCAGUGUCCCAUGUACGUACCACAGUAUAAAAAGUUGGUGGCUGAUAACCAUCUUCGCUUGCAUUGGUAUCUGUUGGUGGAACUACGUUUGGCUGUGGCAGCAACCAUAACAGGAGACACGAUAGAUUAUUGAAACUACAGUCUAACCAGUCAUACUUAGCCUUCAAAAUGAGUAGCUCAAGCACAAAACUUUACAUUGUCUAGUUCAACACUACUGUACAAAAUCACCUUCCUUGCUUUUUAACCAUUUCUAAAUUUUCUAGACCUUUGAUGCUCUUUAGUAUAAUCUCUGUUCCAAUGGCCUAAAGCAUUUCCUCCAAAACAAUCACUAUCAUCUUUGUCCAUGACACAUCCUCCACCAUCAUUAUUGGCACCAUCUUCGUCGUUUCCAUCCCAACCACCAGCAUCACAACUUUGUUCAUGGCCAUCAUCCAUUUAUGCAUCAAGCACUACUACAUAUCGGUCUUGGUAAUCUAGGCACAUUCGUUGGCUUCUUUAUUAGGAUAAAUGUUAUCAAUUGUUUCACUAUGAUAAGUCCACACGGUGUAGUCCUUAACAAAUCCUUGCAUAAUCAAGUGUGAUAUGAUGAUAGUCACAUCUUUCCAUGUGAGAUGGUUCUUGCAAUCGCUACAUGGACAAAUAAUUUCAGUAUUAUUGUAGGUAAACAUUACAUGCUUCUAUGCGGCUUCAAGAAAUUUAUCCACUUCAAUACGGAACUUGGCUCCCUCCUUUUUGUACCAUACAUCUAGGAGUUCUGGUAGUCUAUCUUUUAGGACAACAAUCAAAGAAAACCGUGCCCUGCGCGUGCUAGACCCGGAUGGUAGACAAUUCGACACUCGGUUUGUACUGGUUUGGGCCCUCGGAUGGGUCCUACAACUAGUGGGAAGUUCAGCUAGUAUUGCUCUUGCCAAUAGGGCUUGCAGUAGGGGUUAAAAGUUGUUUGAGAGAGGAAGGAGGUUCCCAAGUCUCUGGUGUAAGAGUUGGUGUGUAUCGUUGUAAUUAUGGGUGGUGCACUCGAGUGUUUGUGUCACCAUUGUUCCAUUUUGUGCUUAGCCCCAAGCCCUUUUAUAGAUCAAGGCUGGGGGUGUACAUGUGUUGGGAGUGACCAGAACUAAAUAAGUCUUCAGGGUACAGCUCCUUCCUUUAGUUUUGAACGAACAAGAGGCAAGAUACGCUUGUUAAGCUUCAGACAUAUAGUUUAGUAGGAUAGCAAGUUUUAGACAACAGCAUUCAGUUUUCAGCAAGAUUCUAAACUAAAAUACGUAGAUUAUGCAUCAUGAGUGGUGAAGAAAAAACUAAACUUACAUCAGGCUAACUAUCCAGUGCUCAUCUACUAUUCAAACAUAGUGCUGGUAGAACCAGAGUUAGAUAAUCACCUUGAAUUGACUCAAAAUUAUCAUGGGAUACAAUUUACAAAUGCAUGUUGCAAGAAAAAAAUCUCCAUAUUUUAUUGGUGAAACUGAAUACUUUGAUAUUCAAAGAACCCAGAACCCCUGUUUAUGGUUUUUUUAAGUUUCUUUAUAUAGAGGAUAUAAAUAUUUUACAAUUAACAUUUAACCGCAUGUGGGUCGAACCAGUCAGUUAGGACACAUUUAACUUAGACAUGGGUCCCGCCAGUCCAUCUAGGACGUGGCUGUGGCAAGGUGAUUUUUUAAAAAAAUAUGUUUUUCAAUAAUGAUGAUCAUAUUCAAUCACUUUCAUCAUGAGCUAUUGUCACAAAGAUUGGGAAGGGUGAAUGGUGACGGUUGUUUAUGACUAAAGCACAUCUUGGUCACAAACGCUUGUCAUCCAUUGAGAACUUGUCGUAAACACGUCGUUUCUAUGACUAAAAAGUGCUUUACAUAUGAAAAUUGUCAUAGAAGGCCCAAUCUCUUGUAGUAUAGUUAUAAAAAAGAGGAAUUAAAAUAUUUGAUGCACAUGCUAGAUGCAGUUAACCAAAAAUGAAUUGGUUAGUAAAGGAAAAUAGCAUGACACAAUGAACAUUGUUUGUGAAUAGGUGAAAGGGCGAGGUUAGAUCCAUAAAAGCGCUACAAUGGAUUAUAUUUUAGCAAUUAAAGCCUUCUAGGGGUUAUUCAAAAGGUGUACAAGAGCAUCUCCGAUAGUUUUAAAAAAUAAUUCAUAAUUCAGUUAGUUUACCAAGUGUCUAAAAAAGUUGGGAGCACAUUUGUUGGGUUUGUCCAAUAGUUUUUGAAAUCUGCACCUAAAAUAUAGGGAGAAAUUUUGCGCCUAGAACCCCAUACUAUUUGCAAUCACCCUAACCACCAUUAUACUUUUCUUUAUAUUUUGUAUAUUUGCAUUGAGAACCCUAUCCUACUCUUUAUUGUUCUCUACGUCCUUCCACUUCUAGAUUGGUAGUUGUUUACCAAGUGCAGAAAGAUUACCAAGUGCAGAAAGAUUAAGAGUUGAGUUAGGUAGUUGUUGGAGAGUGGUAUUUUCAAUGCCAAGAAAUAAGAUUGGGAGUGGCUUUUGAAAACUCUUAGAGAUGCUCUAACACACAUAGAUUAUAUUGGGCAUAAUAGUAUUCUCCAAUAUAUUUUCUAUAAAAGCCUAAGAAAACAUCCAUGGUGGACGGUCGCACACCCAUGCCGAACGUGGAUUCACCAGGACAUGCGCCUAGGCUAGCCAUGGACUCGUCGAACACUGCUGCUCACCUUGCGCCGCCGCUUGCUGCAUGCCACUACAUACCAUGAGCCACCACUCAUCGCUGCUCACUGUGCUCCUGCAAAGGGAUGUUAUGGUGGAUUCAUAUAUGUGUAGGGGUGAGGAGUGGAAAGAAGUGAUGUUUUCACGGUUCCAUCCUCUAUAGUAGAAAAAUGGCUUUGACACCCCUAGACUUCUACACCAAAGUCGCUUCUUCCUUGGCGGCUUCGUAGGGUUUUAGCUAUGAAAAACUUCUGUCAAACGAGGUCAUAUGUUUGUUCUCUUAUACCCAUCGCUCCAGUUCUUGCUCUCUCGCUUCCCCACAAAUCCACAAUUAUCGUAGCACCACUAUCUUCCUUCUCCCCAUGGUCGUCCCACUCAGUCCUAUCGUGGCCCUCAAUGAGGCUUAGAUUAUGGAUUGUGCCAACCUGACAAGGCCUCACCAGCUACUAGUCAUAAUCAUAGUAAGCCAAUGGAUAAACUAGGGAGUUGAAUCUAAGGUAAUUCUAUAACUAUGCCAAUGAAUAACUCUAAUUAGUGCAAUUACAUCUAGAAAUCAUCGUUAAGUCAACCCUAUAUCAUAAUUAGAUGUAAAGAGGCAUCAAUUAAUGAGGGUAUUAAGACACAUGGGUCACCUCAUUCGCGACCGCGCCCAUGCUUGUCCUAUGUACGGAGGGUGGACUAUAGAAGAUCCAACGCAGUUGUCACCUACGCAGUCUACCACACGUCCCGCACGUCAUGGUGCACUCGUAGGCAAACAAGAUAUCUAGACACCACGUCUACAUAUUGUCUAUCAUCUACCCAACGAUCGAUUAGGUAAACGCUAUACGAGCAAUUACAUGAAUUCAAUAAGAUCAAACCAACUAUCCUAGACAUAUAAUCAAAGUAGACAAUAACUAAUGCAAUUAAGAACAUAUGAAUCUAUUAAGAAUAAAGUCUCCCUAAUAUACAAUUGAAUAUUGUAAAGUAAGAACUAGAUCUAUUACCAAACUCUUGCGCUCCAGAUCGACGCCAGGGGCUCCAGAUCUCGAUGAAGAACUAGAUCUCCUCUACUUCUAAUCUAACUAACUAGAACUAUGAACUAGAAGGCUCUUGAUGAACUUGAAGGCGCUUGAUGCUUGAUGGCUUGAGGCCUUGAUGAAUUGGUUGAUUUAGGAUUGUCUCCAGGGGGGUCUACCCUGUAUUUAUAGUCUGGUGGGAUGCGCGUGCGCUGUAGGAUCAAACCGACUUAACCAAGGGCUGAGAUGCAUCAGGAGAGGCGGUGGAGGAAGCUUCUAGAAGUGGAGGGCCAAAACCCUAAGGGGGCGCCGGCUAGCGCUAGGGUGGGGCCGGCCAGCCCCACCUGGCAGCCGCCAGGCCCCCCGCUGCUUCGGGUGCAUUCUCGAUCCUUCCUGAGUCUUCUCGCGACGUUUCCCAUAGCGGAUAUGUUUCGUGUUUAUUUUGCACUAGAGUCCCUCCUUUCAGCUUUCCUGAAAUUCAGCCUGGAAAAUACAGAAUAUACAAAACUCGUGGAAAUUGUUCGAUAAAACCCUAGACUAGUGUGUUUUAAUGUUUUCCUUCAGGUCUAAAGUUAUAAUAAAAGUUGACGUUAUUGACCAUCAACAUAUGUGUUAUUGCUGAUGAAGUUCACAUCCUCUUGCAGUGUAGGGCAACUGAUAGCUGAGUGCCCGUAGUCUCCACAUUCUUCACAUGUCAUAUGGGAAUCAUUGAUGUGCAUGACUUCCUUCUUCUCUAUGUCGAGCUUCUUCAUAAUGAGGUCUAGCUUGGUAGUGACCAUGUCAGCUUCCUUGAGAUGAUGGAUUCCUCCUCCUUUCUUUUGAGACUGGGUACGUUCUUCAUUGCAUGUUGAAUUUGAGGCCAUCUUCUCAACAAGUGCUUUAGCGUCUGAGAGCUUAAGUGAUAGGAAAGCUCCCACAGCUGCAGCAUCAAUAGACUCAUAGGUACUAGAGAUGAGCCCAUGAUAGAAAGUUUGCAUUAACAACCACUCCUCUAUCCCAUGAUGAGGAUAGUCUUCAAUGUAAUUCUAGAAUCUUUCCCAUGCUUCAGUGAAUGAUUCAUCAUGUUAUUGUUGGAAACUUGAAAUCUUCCCAUGCAGAGCAUUAGUCUUGGCUAUAGGAAAGAAUUUUGCCAGGAAAGCAGUUGAGCAAAGGUCCCAUGUAUUGUGUUUGUCUUUCUUGGUGUAGAACCACUGCUUAGCUUUUCCCAAUAAUGAGAACGGGAAAAGAUGGAGUAAGAUAGCAUCCUUUGGUACUCCUCUGAUUGUGAAGGUGCUGCAGAUCUCUAGAAAGUGUUGUAAGUGUGCACUUGCAUCUUCAUGAGCUUUUCCACAGAAUUGGCUGGCUUGAACCAUAGUGAUGAGAGUAGGCUUGAGCAUCUUCAUGUUUGCUGUUAUUGGGGAAGAGAACUCUUGCAGUGUCUCAGCCAUGUCUUCAAACACAGGAGCUAGGUUUCCACCUAACCGCUCUUCUCCUUGUUCUUCUAUUUGUUCUUCAAAUUUCUCUUCCAAUAUUCGAGAUGGCUCCUCUGAUGAGCUAGCUUGAGCGGCAGAUUGUGUUCUUGAUGGUGAUUCAAAUUUGUCCCUUGCUUCUAUAAACUUCUUCUUUCUAAGGAGUUUCUCUAGAUCUUCAGUAAAAUUUCUUGGAAGAGCAAAAUCUUUCAUUCAUCACCUUGCAUAAGAUAAGAAAAUGAUAACGACGAAAGGUGUACCUGAUUGAGUUAGAAAUUGAUUGGUAAUAUGACUUUAUCCAUACGUAUAUAUAUGUUAUCAAUAUAUCCUAAGUUUAUUGUGCCUUCCCCGGCAACGGCGCCAAAAAUGCUUGUUGACAUUUACUACCGUCGUUACUAAAAAUAGAGAUAAACCCUACCCCUAGCAACAACACUAGAAAUGCACAAUAUAUCAUUAACUUGUCAAAUAGCAACUAACCACUCUAACAUUCUUAAGCAUGAAGUAGGUUGUCAUCCCUAAUUACAUUGCUAGGAAUUUUAUAUAAAUUCACAUGUUCUACUGUAACUAGACAGAGAAUAAAAGAUAUGAAUACACUUAUAAACUAAAUUUGUUCUGUAAGCGGACAGAUAAUUAUAUUGUUGUAGCAUUUUACCUAUGGAAGUAUCCAGGUUGUCGAUUUAUAUUUAUACCACUCGGAAGUCUAAGUGUUAAACUAUAAUCUAUUAUACUGAUAAGAAACUAUAUAUAUGGAUGAAUAAAUGAUAUUACCCAAGUCAUAUAAUGUACUCAUAACAGGAAGAGGUCACAAGAUAAAUAUGGAUAAAUAAUAAUGAUAGCAUAAUCAUCAAGUAUCAUAAAUAACGAUAAUCAUCAGAGCAUCUACUAGUCAUAAUCAUAGCUAGCCAAUGGAUAAACUAGAGAGUUGGAUCUAAAGUAAUUCUAUAACUACGUCAAUGAAUAACUCUAAUUAGUGUAAUUACAUCUAGAAAUCAUCGUUAAGUCAACCCUAGAUCAUAAUUAGAUGUAAAGAGGCAUCAACUAAUGAGGGUAUUAAGACACAAGGGUCACCUCCUUCGCGACCGCGCCAUGCUAGUCCUAUAUACGGAGGGUGGACUACAGAGGAUCCAACGUAGCUGUCACCUACGUGGUCUACCACACGUCCCGACAUGUCUGGGUGCACUCGUAGAUAAACAAGAUAUCUAGACACCACGUCUACAUAUUGUCUACCAUGUACCUAACGAUCAAUUAGGUAAACGCUAUACGAGCAAUUACAUGAAUUCAAUAAGAUCAAACCAACUAUCCUAAACAUAUAAUCAAAGUAGACAAUGACUAUUACAAUUAAGAACAUAUGAAUCUAUUAAGAAUAAAGUCUAUCUAAUAUACAAUUGAAUACUAUAAAGUAAGAACUAGAUAUAUUACCAAACUCUUGCGCUCCAGACUAACGCCAGGGGCUCCAGAUCCCGAUGAAGAACUAGAUCUCCUCUACUUCUAAUCUAACUAACUUGAACUAUGAACUAGAUGGCUCUUGAUGAAAUUGGAGGCACUUGAUGCUUGAUGGCUUGAGUCCUUGAUGAAUAAUGAAUUGGCUCUCUCCAGAGGGGGUCUACCCAUGUAUUUAUAGUUCAGUGGGAUGCUCGUGCGAUGUAGGAUCAAACCGACUUAACCAAGGGUCGAGAUGCAUCAAGAGAGGCGGUGGAGGAAGCUUCCAGAAGAGAAGGGCCAAAACCCUAAGGGGGGCAUCGGCCGGUGCUAUGGUGGGGGGACGACCAGCCCCACCUGGCAGCUGCCAGGCCCCCCGUUGCUUCGGGUGCCUUCUCGAUCCUUCCUGAGUCUUCCCGCGAUGUUUCCCAUGGCGGAUAAGUUUCGUGUUUAUUUUGCACUAGAGUCCCUCUUUUCGGCUUUCCUGAAAUUCACCCUAGAAAAUACGGAAUAUACAAAACUCGUAGAAAUUGUCUGGUAAAACCCUAGACCAGUGUGUUUUCAUGUUUUCCUUCAGGUCUAAAGUUAUAAUAAAAGUUGACGUUAUCGACCGUCAACAUAGACCUCUAAGCAAGGUUCGCUAAAAGGUAGAAGAAUAAAAUUAACCCUACUAAUAAGUAACCUCAGUCAACGACAUAGUGGUAAACCAAAAACCUGUUUUAUAUUUCCAAUUAAUAAACACACAAUCUUAAUCAAUCUAGACCUCCAAAAUGGCCUCCAAUGGAUGGUGGCUGCGAGAAACAGUUCUGCUUGUGGAGCACGAAGAGGAAUUUAUACUAGAAACUUCACUGGCGGCUGGCUUAAGGAACCGCCAAUGUAAAUCCACUUACACUGGCGGUUCACUUAAGAAAACCGCUAGUGUAAAUGGUGCAUUUCUACUGGCGGUUUACUUAAACCGCAUGUACACUGGCAGCUCACUUAAGUAAACUACUAGUGCAAAUGCACCAUUUACAUUGGCGAUCUUCUUAAGUUAACCACUAGUGCAAAUUUGUUUCCACUGGCAGUUCUUGAAUCGUGCCGGCCAUUUUCUUUGCAGUGACGUGCGAUAAUUGAAACCGCCUAUAAAUUAGACACAACCGCUGCCAUAGAGCAUUUUCUGUACUAGUGAUAAUGUCACCAAACUUUUACUAUUGCUACCAUCAUAAAUCUAUCACUGGUACAAGAAAGGGCUUUAGCCCCGGGCCGUAAGGGCCUUUAGUCCUGGUUGCGGAACCGGGGCUAAGGUUUUGGGACUAAAUGUCCCACUUCUAGUCCCGGUUCCGCGGACCGGGACUAAAGGUCCACCUUUAGUCCCGGUUGGUAUCAGCAACCGGGACUAAAAGGUACGCCAGAGUGUGCCACCUAGCCUCCACUUUUAGUCCCGGUUGUUGCUACCAACCAGGACUAAAGAUUUUUUUAUUUUUUUCUUUUCUUUUCAUUUGGUUUUCCAUUUAGGGUUUACAAUUAUGUUAUUAUUAUUUUUGAAUGCGUAUUGUUUGCUGGUAGUUUAUGGAACGCGCACCUAUAAUUUAUAUAAUUUAAAGCAUUACAUAUAAAUAUACUAUAAAACACUAUAUAUAUAUAUUAUAUGUAUCUAUAGGUCCAUAAUAUAAUAUUUACACAUAUGCUUCACAGACAAAGUAUUUACCACACAAUUUAUCUCCGCCACUCAAGCAUCGUACAAAUGAUCAUCGUGAUUUGGUUUCAUUGGCUCCUGAGGGUUGAAGUAGCACUCGCCGCCGGGAUUCAGGACUUGGUCGUUAAGAAAUCCUACGAUUGUCUCUUAAAUUCCUUUUAGGCGCACCGCAUCCAACACCUACUCCUUCAACCACAUCUCCUUUAAUAGACAUUAAAGAAAAAAGUUAGAGGUAUGAAUAGGAUUUAUUAAAUAGCAACAAAUAAAUGAAAUAAACUUAUUAUAUAAACAUGUUACAUACUUUUAGGUGCUCAAGAUUAGUUCUUUUGGCAUAGACCGUCAUAAACUCGUACACAUAGUAGCCACACAAAUUGUUGCCCGGUGUCUGCCGUAGAACCCACAGAAGUUCAAAAAAGCAGAAUUUAAAAGAGCAGAAUUAUUAAUUAUCCAUUACAAAGUUUAAAGAGCAGAAUUUAAUAUAUAGAUAUCAGAGUUACCAUUGGAUAAUAUCUAUCAUUUCUUGGUAAUCGUCCUGUGGUUUUCUCAACGAGAGUCAUAGAUUACCAAUUAACAUUGCCAGAGAUCAAUGACAAUUAGUAUCCAAUGAAAGCUGCAUUUGUGUGCAUGUAGGCAAAACUAGUAUAUAUCUUUAUACUGAUCUGAUUAAUUAGUUAAAUAGAAUGUACACACGAUAACAACACUUACUUAAAGUUGUAGGGAAAGAGUAUAUAUCUUUUAUCUUUUUAAUUGAUCAAGAACCUCCGUAGAUUUCUCUCCGUUUGAGUUCUCCAUAAGACAUACGGGGUCUUCUGGUCUUUGAAUACAACAUUUCAAUCCACAAAUCCAAUCUCCUUGUCAUUUCUAACUCUGAGGUCCCUCAUCAUGUUUCUGCAUAUGUAUAGCGGGUUUCUAUAAUUAGUUAUAUAUACACAUGAUAACUUACAGUGACAUUAUUGAAAAAAAGAAUCACUUACAGACAGAAGCAACUCAUUAGAGAUUUGUCAAGAGUGUCCAUGUGGCACAGUUGGUGUAGCUCAUUAAAUUGAACAUAAAUAAUAUCAUCACCACAGAAGUAAUGAUAGUUUCUAAUUCGGACACAAGAUAAUCAUCAACUUUUCUGACACACGCUGCCAUAUACCAUUUGUUUAGCAUGUACAUUUGCGUUCCAAGUUUGCUGAGGGCCGCAGGGUUGUAUAGACUCUUGCCAUAUGUAUAUCCCUUCUGCCAAUGAUCGAAUUCUGGAGCACUUUCAAUUGGUGCCCCAGCUAUCAUUUGGGCUAAGCUGAGACCAGUUUCCGCAAAAAAAUUUCAAGCUCAUCAAAUUUUAAAUCUGUCGAUAUCUGCUGGUCUAGCACGUCAGUGUUUGAACCAUAUUCAUUUCCAAUUACUAGCGGGGAAACUGAUUGCUUUGAUUGUUCCCCGAGCUGUGCUACACCCUUGCGUGCUCUUUUCUCUUUCUUUUUCUCUUCUUCUAUGGAUUUCCUUAAAGUGCGAUCAUAGUCCGAUAAAGAUGAUGAUUCUUUCUGAGCUUCAUGCCUUUUUUUUUGAGCCUCAACCCUUUGUCGUAGAUCUUUCAGUCUUAAGUUUCUUGAAGAAACUAUCCACAUCUGAUUUUACCGAAGCAUCUAGUUCUGCAUCAGUCUUCUCAUAGGACAGCUUCUUAGGAAUGAUAGUUUGUUUCUUUUCGGAGGCUUUCUUUUUUGGCGGCGGGGCGGCCGACACAUUUGAUUGUGUGGCCGGCCUCUUCUUUCGUGCUGGAGCCACGUGUGGAGGCGAUGGGGCGGCCGGUGGCGGUGUUGGAGCCCGAGGAGGCGGCGUUGGAGCCCUAGGUGGCGUUGGAGCCCUAGGUUUUGGUGUUGGAGCCUGAGGUGGCGGUGUUGGAGCCCGAGGUGGCGGUGUUGGAGCCCUAGGUGGUGGUGUUGGAGACCGAGGCGAUGCAGCCGUGUCUUGCACUCCCUCGUCAUCACCCGCAGCACUAGGACAUGUUGGUGACCACUUGUGAAACCAAAAGGUAUAUGAGUAAACCGCUAACUAAGAGAAUGCAAAAUAAAGUUAGUGAACAAAUGUAUAGUCAAUUUUCAUCCACACCUAGGAUUAGAUUCAUGAGAGGAGGUGGUGGUAGACUACUAGGUGAUGCCCCAGGAAUAAUGAUGUAGCGCUUGCACCAACAAAUAAAAGUCUUCUCUCCAUCACCUCCUUCUAUCUCAAGCUGCACAUUACUGAAGCCUUUGACAACUCUAUCCACCGAGACACUAGCAUAUCCAGGUGGAACUAUCGCCCCAUUGAUUCUUGGUGUCUUCGUAGGGUCGACAGGAGUUACAACACCGACAACAACCAUGACUGUGGCAGUCCCCUAUGGAAUGUGCAGCUCACAUGUUGUCAGAGCUUCACUAAUGUCAUCCACCGGAAAGUGCAGCCCCACAUCGUCUUGAAUAGUUGGCAUCUCCGUGGAAGCACAACUGCUUUUCAACUGACUGGGGGGGGCUAAUGUUGACUCUAGGCUCUGAUGCAGUUUGCCUUUGUAUAGAACUUACUGCCAUCUGCACUUGUCUUUUGAUCUCCUCAUUCAUUCUCUCUUCAAGCGCUUUCUCUCGCGCUAUCGCUUCAUGAGCCGCUUUGCAUGACUCCAUCACCAUUGCCUCCAACCUACGCAACCGCUCUACUUCCUCUUUCUUCUUUCUUUGGCGGCUUCUAUAAGUCGGUCUAUCUUUAGGGAAGCCAUGCUCCCACGAUACAUACCCAUAGCCUCUUGUUCGCCCACCGUGUUCAGCAGUCUCCAGGGCGUAUGUCAGCUCAUCCUUUUCUCUAUUUGGCUGCCAGGUGUCACUUUCAACUAAUCCUCUAGCAUAGGCCAUUCUCUGUCCUACUCUCUCCAGCUUUUCGCCGUACACUAUCUUUCCGGUCUCUAGGUCUAUGGUUCCCUCGUGACCGAAGAACCAAUACUUGGCGCGCUCAGGCCAGUGCAUUGAUUCUGGUUCGAUCCCUCUCCCAAGAAUCUCCUGUUCCAUCUAUUGCCACAUAGGAAUAGCAGUCUAGCCACCUGAACCCAAGUGAUGGUGGUAUUGCUUUUGUUUAGCAUUUUCCUGAUUCUUGAUCAUCCGUGCCUGACCCUCUUCUGAGUUCUUAAACUCUACGAACUCAUCCCAAAAAGGCCUCAACUUGACGUAGGCCUUGUUGGUGAAAUCCGGUGUCCGGCCAUGUGCAACAAAAGUCUUGUAUAAUGUCUUCUUCCAAGCUUGAAAUUGUUUGGCCAUCUUCUGCAUAGCCCAGAUUUUAACCUUCUCCUUCAAAGCUUCAUCUUGUGUAUCGAGCGUGAAAUGUUGAAGGAUAUCUAGCCAAAUCAAUUCCUUGUCACGAUCUGAGACAAAACUAAUAUUAGAGUUAUCUUUCCGUUGCUUACAUUCACGAGCACUGACCGGGAGCCCGUCCCUUACAAGGUACCCACAGUGCGCAACAAAUUUUUUAGAAUUGGCCCCAAGCACUUGUCUUGUACCCUCAUCAAAUCUAGAUGUGCCACUGCAGCAUGUAAUUAAUUUACGAGACAAAUUUUUUGCAAGUAAACAAGGCCCUCCAUAUAUAUGUUUACAGCAUGUAAUUAAUUUGCAAGAUAAAUAUGAUAAACGAAACACUUCCAUACAUAUAUGUAUACAUGCCUUAGCUAAAAAUUAGAUAAAAUUAGCUAAGAGUAAUUACACAGUUCAUAGGGAAACCGCGAGACAAACCUUUUAAGCUUAAUUAGUUUUUGUUAGCCAUAAUUACUAUAAUAACACAGAUAUGCUAAUAACGGAUUAGUUAGAUAUAAUAAAUUUGUCUCACAGUUUUUAGAGAGAUUAUAUAAUUAAUUUUUUAAAUUAAUAUCCAAACUGCUCUUUCGAUAUUCCAUAAAUUAUUCGAUACAACAACUAAAGACUUGUUUAGUUUCAAAAAUAUUCGAUACAACAACUAAGGGCUAACAUAAACUAAUAUACAGGAUACAUAUAUAACAAUAAACUAAUUACAACUAAGGGCUAACAUAAACUAAUUACAACACAGGACAAAUUAUAUUAUAUAAAUUAUAUAAUACAAAAGAUAAAUUAUAAAAUAGAAAUUAUACAUCUCAUCUCAAUAUCUAACCCUACUAACCAAUUACAACACAGGAUAGUUUCUCAUAACAAUUUCUCAUCCAAAUCUAAACAUAUAUAGUUUCUCAUAACAAUUUGCUCAACAUAUAUAGUUUCAAAAAAACAUCACAAUGCAAAAGUGCUGGCCGAGAGAUCAUCUUCGUACGGUGGCGACCGAGGGAAAAGAAGCUCGCGCGCGCGGUGUACGGAGAAGAAACGCGCACGGCGUACGGUCGCCGGAGAAGAAGGCCUCGGCGGUGUGGCCGGAGAAGAAGGCCUCGGCGGCGUGGCCGGAGAAGAAGCUCUCGGCGGUGUACGGAGAAGAAGGCGCUCGGGGCCGGAGAAAGAAGCGGUGGGGGCGCUCCUCGGCUACGGUGGCGGCGGCGGCGCUCCUGGGCUCGGCCGGGGACGAGGGUGAGGCGACGACGGGGAGGAGCGGCGCGUGGCGGAGGAAGUUAGGGCAACGUCGAUCUGAGAAAGAAGACUGUGCGCUUAAAUAUACGCGGGGACCUUUAGUCCCGGUGCGUGUCACCAACUGGGACUAAAAGGUCUUUAGUCUUGGUUGGUGAUACGCACCGGGACUAAAUGUAUUUUUGCUGUUUCUUAUUUAUUUAUGCUUACAAUAAUUAGAUUAAUUUUGUUAAUUGCAUAGUAAAUAGAAUAAUAGUUAUUAAUUUGUUAAAAAAUAAUAGUUCCAUUUCUUUUUGUCCAAUUGCUUACAUAAUAAAUUUGGAAACAUAAAAUCUUUUCAUCUCUUAUAUUAGCAAACUUAAAUAUGAAAAAAUUAGUAUUUUGUUAAUGCAAAAAUGUAUAAUUUAAUUUUAAUAUCUUAAAGUAGGUGUUUUUGAUAGAAAAUUUGUUUGUGCAUUAUUUAAAAGCAAAUUUUGUUUAUUUAUCAUCAUUUAUCUUCAAAAUCAUGAUAUACGUGAUAUUCACCAUUACAUCGGAUUAUUUUUUUUAAAGAGUUUUCUCUAUUUCUUAUUUAUUUAAGCUUACAACAAUAUUCACCAUUACAUCGGAUUAUCUCUAACAACUUUGUAUUUAAAUUUUUUUCAUUUCAAGUCAACAAAUGGGUCAUUUGACCAAGUUUGACUAAAGUCAAAACAUUGGUUUUUAGAAACACACACUUUGACCGAACCCUAUAUGGUCCCAAAUGGUAAAGUAAUGAAUACAAAGUUUGUUGCACUCAUCAAGUUCUACAUUUGGUCUAAUGGUCAACUUUUCUUUUAGAAAAGUUUGAACCACUCAAUUUUGAAUUUUGAAAGAAUUCAUAGCCACACAUCGGUUUUCGGAACCCUGGGAAAAGUCAUGAAUACCAAUAUUGUUACACUCAUCAAAAUCUACAUUUAAUAUAUAGACAGUUUUUGCAUUUGACAAAGUGUUGGGAAGCUGUAGUUGAAAAUCCACAAUUGACACAUAUAGUUUCAUACAGUUUGUGUGAGAUUCAAGAUUUGGUGGGAAUUUUGAACUUAAAUUUUCUCAAAUAGAAAAAUUGUCUAUAUAAAAAGUUUAGAUCUUGGUGAUAUCUAACAACUUGGUAUUCAAAUUUUUUUCAUUUUAAGUAAUUUAGUUUGUCAUUUGACCAAGUUUGACUAUUUUUGCAUUUGACAAAGUGUUGAGAAGGUGUAGUUGAAAAUCCACAAUUGACACAUCUCUUAUAAUAGCAAACUUAAAUGUCAUUUCCCACAAGUCAUUUCAUUAUUUGAAAUGAUAUAAAAUAAGAAAAACUAAUAUAAACAUCUUAAGUUACAAUUGUCACAUACACAUACUCUAAUGCAAUCUAUUUAUUAGGCGGGCACAAUAGUGAUCUUCUUUUUGACGUAUGUUCCUUGGUCAUGAUCUUGAUGUAACCAUGGAGUGUCCUCAGCAUUUAUCAGUAUGCUCGGAUCUUUGGUCACAUUGAAAGGCGUGAUUCUGUCAUCCCAUUCAUAGUCUUCCGAAACAUCUGACUUGUCCUCAAUUCCCACAAUGUUUCUUUUCCCUUGAGAGAACUAUAUGGCGUUUUGGCUCAUUUGUUGAUUUGUUGUCAUUUUUCCCUCUCUUCUGUUUUUAGACAUGUCUUUCACAUAGAACACCUGAUUCACAUCAGCAGCAAGGAUGAAUGGUUCAUCUUUGUAACCAACAUUGUUGAGGUCCACUGUUGUCAUUAGAUAGUCUUUGUCAACUGUCACCUCGACUCCGGUAACCUUCACCCAUUGGCACCGAAACAAAGGGACUUUAAGAUUAGGUGUGUAGUCUAGUUCCCAAAUCUCCUCUAUACAGCCAUAAUAUGUUUGUCUGUUUCCAUUCGGGUCUAUGGCGUCUACGCAAACCCCACUAUUUUGGUUCGUGCUUCUUUUAUCUUGGGCUAGGGUGUAAAAUGUAUUUCCAUUUAUCUCGUACCCUUUGUCAUGAGGAUGUGCCAUGAUGGUUGCCUAGCCAACAAAUACAGUUGCUCAUCAAUCUGGUCAUUAUCUUGACAUUCUUUUUGUAACCAAUCACUGAAAGUGUCCAUGUGCUAAUGCAUAAACCAAGCUUAAUUCUUCUUUGGGAAUUGGGAUCGUAGGAAGUCCUUGUGUUUCGUGACAUACGGCUCCACCACAGAUGAGUUUUGAAGAACUGUGUAGUGUGCUUUAUUGAAAGAAUCGUCCCUCGUACCGAUGUAUGUUUUCUUUCCUAGUGUUCCCUUUCCACUCAGUCUCCCCUCGUGUCGUGAUUCAAGAACACCAAUUGGGUCAAGUUCAGGAAUGAAUUCAACACAUAACUCAAUGACCUCAUCUGUCCCAUAGCCCUCUGCGAUGCUUCCUUCUGGCCGAACACGUUGGUGAACAUAUUUCUUCAGAACUCCCAUAAACCUCUCGAAGGGAAACAUAUUAUGUAGGAACACAGGACCAAGAAUAUUGAUCUCCUUGACCAGAUGAACUAGGAGGUGUGUCAUGAUAUCAAAGAAGGAUGGAGGGAACACUAACUUAAAGCUGACAAGACAUUGAACCACAUCAUUCUGUAGAGCAGCUAGUUCCAGUAGAUUGAUUGCCUUCGGAGAAAUUGCAUUGAGGAAUGCACAUAGCUUUACGGUGGCCAGACGUACAUGUGGAGGUAGAAUUCCUCUUAAUGCAACUGGAAGCAAUUGCGUCAUAAGCACAUGGCAGUUAUGUGACUUUCAUUUCAGAAAUUUAUUCUCGGGCACAUUAAUUAUACCUUUUAUAUCAGAGGAGAAUCCAGAUGGGACCUUGAUGCUGCUUAAGCAUACAAACAUGAUUUCUUUCUCUUCAUUGCUAAGAGUGUAGCUAGCAGGUAUUAAAUAUUUGCGUCCAUCAUCUCUCUUCUUUGGAUGUAGGUUGUCUCGUUGUUCCAUACGUUGCAAGUCUUGUCGUGCUUCAAGUGAAUCCUUAGGCUUACCAUAUACACCCAUGAAUCCUAGAAGGUUCACACAAGGAUUCUUUGUUAGGUGCAUGACGUCGAUCGUAUUUUGGACCUCUAGGACUUACCAAUAGGGUAGCUCUCAAAAUAUUGACUUCUUCUUCCACAUGGGUGCAUGACCCGUUGCAUCUUUUGGAACUGGUUGGCUGCCUUGUCCCUUACUAAAAACUACUUUCACAUCCUUAACCAUCUCAAAUACAUCUUCUCCAGUUCUGUUGCGAGGCUUGCAUCGGCGGUUUGCCUUACCUUUAAAAUGCUUUUAUUUCUUUCUAACUGAGUGAUUCAUAGAAAGAAAUCGACGAUACCCAAGGUACACGACCUUUCUGUAUUUUUUCAAACAUAUACUAUCAAGGUCAUCAAAACAGUGUGUGCAUGCAUUAUAUCCCUUGUUUGUCUGCCCUGAAAGAUUACUUAGAGUAGGCCAAUCAUUGAUUGUCACAAACAACAGUGCUCGCAGGUCGAAGUGUUCCUGUUUGUACUCAUCCCACACACGAACACCUGUUUCACUCCAUAAAAGAAGGAAUUCUUCAAUUAAUGACCUUAGAUAGACAUCAAUGUCAUUGCCCGGUUGCUUCGGGCCUUGGAUGAGCACCGGCAUCAUAAUGAACUUUCGCUUCAUGCAUAACCAUGGAGGAAGGUUGUAGAUACAUAGUGUAACAGGACAAGUGCUAUGACUACUGCUCUGCUCACCAAAAGGAUUCAUACCAUCCGUACUUAAAGCGAACCUUAAGUUUCUUGCGUCUUUUGCAAACUCUAGAAAUUCCCUGUCUAUUGCUCUCCACUGGGACCCAUCAACAGGGUGUCUCAACAUGUUGUCUACUUUACGGUCUUCUUUGUGCCACCGCAACAAUUUUGCAUGGUCCUUAUUUCUAAAAAGACAUUUCAAACGUGGUAUUAUAGGAGCAUACCACAUAACCUUUGCAGGAAUUUUUUUUCUGGGACGUUCUUCCCCCUCAACAUCGCCAGGGUCAUCUCGCCUGAUCUUAUACCGUGAUGCUUUACAUACGGAGCAUUCAUCUAAAUUCUCGUAGUCCUUGCCACGGUAUAGGAUGCAGUCGUUAGGACAUGCAUGUAUCUUCUUGAUUUCUAAUCCCAAAGGACAGACGAUCUGUUUUGCUUCGUACGUAGUAGUGGGCAGUUCAUUAGGCUUCGGUAGCAUCUUUUUUGGAUCUUCAGUAAUUGCCCAAAUGCCUUAUCGAAUACACUAUUAUGUGCCUUCCAUUUUAACAACUCCAGUGUUGUACCUAGUUUUUUUUGCCCAUCCUGGGCAGAUGGGUAUAGUAAUUUCUUGUGAUCUUCUAAUAUGUGGUCAAACUUUGUCUUCUCUUUUCACUUUCGCAAUCUUUCUGUGCAUCACGAAUGACAUCACCAAGAGCAUCAUCUUCAACAGGUGCGCCUUCUGCACCUGCCUCAUCUUCAGCUUCUCCCAUUGCUGUAUCACCGAAGUCACCGUAUUGAGCAAUAAUGUCGUUAGGCUCCAACUAUUCUUCUUCACCUUCUUCCAUCAUUAUCCCGUUUUCUCCAUGUUUGGUCCAACAAAUAUAGUUUGGCAUAAAACCCGACUUCAACAAAUGUGAGUGAAUAUUUCUAGAGCUAGAAUAUUCCUUCAAAUUCUGACACAAGGCAUAUGGGCAACAUAUGAAUCCAUCCCGCUUGUUUUCCUCGGCCACUCUUAAGAAAUAAUGCACACCAUCAAUGAAUUCUUUGGAGCGGCGAUCGGCAUUGUACAUCCAAUGACGUGUCAUUGUCUACAUUGCAAUAUAAAGUAUUAUAAGUUUCAAAUUUUUUAUUCAUAAAUUAAAGUAACAAAUAACCUAAAAUUCUCUAUUUCUAAUUUUUCUAAACCAGCAAAAUUAAAAAGACAUAAAAGUUCUCUAUUUUUCUAACUAAUCAUGAAAUGUGGCAUGCAUACUAGUUAUAAUUAACUAAUUAACCUUGGCAUAAAUUGCAAAUUAAAGUAUUAUAAGUUUCUAAUUUUUAAUAGAGAAAUUGAAGUAACAAAAAACCUAAAAUUCUCUAUUUCUAAUUUCUCUAAACAAGAAAAAUUAAAAAAGCACAAAAAUUCUCUAUUUUUCUAAAUAAUCAUGAAAUGUGGUAUGCAUACUAGUUAUAAUUAACUAAUUAAAUUGGUCAAAAAUUGCAAAUUAAAGUAUUAUAUGUUUUUAAUUUUUUCUAAACUAAUUAAAAUAAAAAACAUAGCAUCACUAUUUCUCUAAAAAAACGUGUCGAUGUUGAGAAGACGAUGAAGCUAGUAACCUCUUAAAAAACCAUAAAAUAAAAAACAACAUACAUAACACUAGGAAAUGACAUAUGCCGCUGCUAAAUGUUGAGAAGAUGAAGCUAGUGACCUCUUAACAAGUCGAUAACGGCGUAGAAAUGAUGAAAUGAAUCAAUAGCCGGAGAUGAGAGCAAGAACGAGCAACUCCAAAUGAAAAACAUCAGCAAAAGAGUGAAGAUCGAUGGGCUCGGCCAGAGGAAGAAGAAGAGUUCAAAUAUGGAGAAGGACAUUUAGUCCCGGUUCCAUUUAACAACCGGGACUAAAGUCCAACAUUAGUCCCGGCCGGCCGGUGAGACGGACCGGGACAACAACUUUUAAUCCCGGUUGGUGUUACCAACCGGGACUAAAAGCUGGGCUUUAGUCCCGGUUGGUAAGACCAACCGGGACUAAAGGUCCCUUCUGCCGAUCUCUGACACCAUAGCCGUUGGGCAGGGGACUUUUAGUCCCGGUUAGUCUCACCAACCGAGACUAAAGAUGUUUUUGUCCGAGACGCUGAUUGGGCCGAAAUUAUUGUUCAUUUUAGGCAAGUGACCAAACGCCUGUUCAGGCCUGUUCUGUUGUAGUAGUGUAUGAACCUCAUUUCUUAGUGAAAGUGCCCGUCAUCUCUCAGGAUAUAAAAUGAUAGUGUUGCUCGCCUUCAUCCAAUUAAAAUCACAAGUUUAGCUUCCUGCUGAACAACAGUGCUGUGUAUGACAACUCAUUUGUGGCAACCAGCGUUCGAUAUCUAUUUUCUGGUUCCAACUAGAGCUAUUGCAUCGCGAUUUUUCCUCUACAACACUGAAUUGCUACAACAAAAUUUUUUGGCCAAUAAUUACCGUUUGUAAAUUUUUGUUUGCUAUAGGUUUUCCAUAGCCAAAGUCAUCUGUAUUAAUUGUUUCAUGCUGAACCAAACUGAGCCUAUUUUUCAGACUGACAAACACCAAUUGGCAUUCUUUCUUUGCAGUAGAUUUGCCACGGCCACAGCUACACCUGCUGCCUCUGCUGAAACACAUACACGAACCAUAGAGCAGCCACACCUUUUGGAAGACAACAAGAUCUGCUUAUGUUUCGGUUCGAAGCCACUUCAUCAUCACUUCCUCCAGUGAUCAGGCAUAUUCUAGCAAAAUGCUUAGGCUACAUCUACAUGCUUACCAUGUGUGUCCUGCAUAUAGCUGUCACAUGUACUUUACUCUAUGCACCCGUGUUAUACUCUAUACACCCGUGCAAACUUAACGCUCAUCUGUUUUUAAUUCACCAUAUGAGAUACUGUUAACCGUCCAUGUCUUUGUCAUCAACGAUGCGACACUGAAAAGGUCUCUUCUUUUGUGUAUGGGCCUGUAAAAUUCCACUAAAUUUGAGUAUGUGCCUGUUUGGCUUGGCUCCAAGUGGAGUUAGCCAAACACCCCAACUCCAGAAAAUGUUGGAGCAGCCCAACUCCAUGGAGUUUUUAGAGGUCUAGUACAAAUUUUUGGAGUACCUCUUCUCCAACUCCGAAACUGACCAAAACAGACCAAGACGUGGAGUUGGGGCGAAAUUACCCGUAAUUGCCACUGGUUACACAAGUGAAUCAUUAUUUUUUCUAUUCUCCCUACCCCGACCCCUUCCCCUUCACGCGAGCAGACUCCCUGCCCCGACCCGACAACCUUCACGCGCGGACAGAGGGAGCCCAUGACUCCUGUCGCCACCGUCCGCUUCCAAGGGACGAGCAGGCGGGCGCCCCCCCCCUCUCUCCGCCUCUCUCCCCGCCCCCUCCCUCCAUCCGCCACUGGCGGCCGGCGAAGGAGAAGACAAGGAGAAGGUCAUCCUCAACCCUAACCGUAGAAAAGGGGAAGAAGGGUGCCUCUCCACCCACCGGCGGCCGGCAAAGAAGAAGAAGGACGACGUGAGGCACCCCCGAUGCUCCCCCAACCUUGCAAGGCAUCCCCAUCCCCAUCUCUAUGCUGUGUGUUUUUUUAAGAACAAUGAGUUCAUGGUUUUGGAGAACAUGCUGUGUAGAAUUAUUGAUUUCAUGGAUUAUUCGGAUUAUCUAAGAUUUAUUAUUUCGGAUUAUCUUGUAUGUUAUUGAAUUUUAUUUUAUAUGCAUCAAAUAUUUUUUCACCCAUAAUUAUCUUUUCACGUUCUCAUUUUUCCAAGAAUGCACCAUAUAUGCAUGGUUCAAUUUUAAAGCAAACGGCCGAACGUAACGGGUGCAUAUGUGAUUGAAGGCAAGGGUAAAGUAGGCAAAACACAGUGACAAAGCACGACUCUGGAGCUCAUAGUACCAUUCUAGCCAAAUACCCAGUGGCGAAUCUAGCCGAAAACAUUGUUGGGGUCAUCAGGGUCAACUUCACUAUGUGAUAUAAUUUUUCUUAAGUUUAAAUAGUAAUUUACAAAGGAUUUUACAAAUUUUGUCGGGGUAGGCGGACCCCGAUGAACAACCCUAGAUUUGCCUCUGCAAAUACCCCUACCAGAAAUGAUGAUGUACUUUCCUUGACUUACAAAAGUGCCAUUCUUCAUUUGCUUGAUUUGAAGACCAAGGAAGUAACUAAGCUCUCCAAUCAUGGACAUCUCAAAUUCAUUUGCCAUCAUUUUUCCAAACUCUUCACAAAAGUCUUGAUUGGUUGAUCCAAAGAUGAUAUCAUCAACAUAGAUUUGCAACACAAACAAGUCAUUGCCUAGCUUCUUGGUGCAGAGGGUAGUGUCAACCUUUCCCAUCUUGAACCCUUUAGAGAGAAGGAAAUCUCUCAAUCUCUCAUAUCAUGCUCUAGGUGCUUGCUUCAAACCAUACAAUGCCUUCUUGAGCUUGUAAACAUGGUUGGGUUUCUUGUCAUCUUCAAAACCGGGAGGUUGUUCAACAUAAACCAACUCAUUGAUGUAUCCAUUGAGAAAUGCACUCUUCACAUCCAUUUGAUGAGCUUGAUGUUGUGGGCACAAGCAUAGGCUAAUAAUAUUCUAAUUGCCUCCAAUCUUGCAACCGGUGCAUAUGUUUCUCCAAAGUCAAGACAUUCAACUUUAGUGUAGCCUUGUGCUACUAGUCUUGCUUUGUUUCUCACAACUACACCAUCUUGAUCUUGCUUGUUUCUAAAGACCCACUUGGUACCAAUCACAUUGUAGUUCUUUGGCCUCUCAACAAGCUCCCACACUUGAUUUCUUGUGAAGUUGUUCAAUUCUUCAUGCAUGGCAUUUACCCAAUCGGAAUCUUUCAAUGCAUCUUCUAUCUUCUUUGGUUCCUCAAAUGAGACAAAAGAAUAGUGCUCACAAAAGGAAGCUAGCCUUGAUCUUGUUUGCACACCACUUUGAAUACCUCCAAUGACUUGAUCCAAUGGAUGAUCCCUUGCUAUACUAGUAGGUUGGAGUAUUGGGAAUUGAUUGCUUCCACUAGCUUGAUUUUGAUCUUGAUCAUCAUCAUGAGAGCCACUAGUACUGGCUUGAUUUGUAUCAAUUUGCACUUCUUGAUUGAUCAUGUGAAUGUCAUUAUCAUCAUAAACUUGCAUUGGCCUUAUGUCACCUACAUCCAUAUUUUUCAUUGCAUUAGCCAAUUGAUCUCCUCUCACAUCAUCAAGAUUUUGAACUUCAUUUUGAGAUCCCUCGGUUUCAUCAAACUCCACAUCAUGGACUUCUUCCAAUGUGCCACUUGCCAAGUUCCAAACUCGAUAUGCCUUGCUUGUGGUGGAAUAACCAAGUAAGAACCCUUCAUCACAUUUCUUCUCAAACUUGCUCAAUCUAGUGCCUUUCUUGAGAAUGUAGCAUUUGCAACCAAACACUCUAAAGUAUGCAAUGUUGGGCUUUCUUCCAUUCAAUAGCUCGUAUGGUGUCUUCCCAAGCUUCCCAUGGCAAUAGAGACGGUUGCUACAAUAGCAAGCCGUGUUGAUGGCUUCACUCCAAAAUGAAUGGCUAACAUUGUACUCACUAAGCAUUGAUCUAACCAUAUCAAUCAAGGUUCUAUUCUUCCUUUCAACUACACCAUUGGAUUGAGGAGUGUAUGUUGGAGAGAAUUGAUGUCCAAUGCCAAGAUCAUCACAUAAUUCCUCAAUUCUUGUGUUCUUGAAUUCACUACCAUUGUCACUUCUAAUCUUCUUGAUAGUGGUUUCAAACUCAUUUUGCACCCUCUUGACAAAAGACUUGAAUAGAUCACAAACAUCACUCUUGUUAUAGAGGAAGAACACCCAAGUGUAUCUAGUGUAGUCAUCUACUAUCACAAAUCCAUACUUGUUGCCACCAAUGCUAGUAUAUGUUGUUGGCCCAAAUAAAUCCAUGUGCAAAAGCUCAAAUGCCUUUGAUGUGCUCAUUUCACUUUUCUUAGGAUGUGCAUUUCCAACUUGCUUUCCGGCUUGACAAGCACUACAUGGUUUAUCCUUCUCAAAGGUGACAUCCUUCAAGCCUCUAACUAAGUCAUGCCUCAAUAGUUUGUUCAAUUGUUUCAUUCCAACAUGACCAAGCCUUCUAUGCCACAACCAACCCAAACUUGAUUUGCUAAUUAGGCAUGAUGUCAAUUGAGUGUCACUAUCAUUGAAAUCAACCAAGUAUAAGCUACCAUGCCUAAAUCCUUUGAAUAUCAAGUUUGAUCCAUCAACACUAACAACCUCAACAUCAUCACUUCCAAAGAUGCACUUGAAACCAAGGUCACAAAGUUGUGCAAUAGACAAGAGAUUGAAAUCAAGGCUUUCAACUAGCAACACAUUUGAUAUGCUCAUGUCAUUUGAGAUAGCAAUUUUACCAAGCCCCUUGACCUUGCCUUUCUUGUUGUUACCGAAGGUAAUUGAAUCAAAGCCACCAUUUUGACUAGUAUCAAUUGAUUUAAACAUACAAGACUCCCCGGUCAUAUGUUGAGUGCACCCACUAUCAAGCACCCAAUGCCUUCCUCCGGCUUUGUAAUUGACCUACAAGACAAGAUCAAUUCCUUUUAGGUACCCAAACUUGAUUGGGUCCUCCAAGGUUAGCAACUAAGCUCUUUGGUACCCAAAUGGCUUUCUUCUUUGAGCCCAUCCAUGGUGCACCAAUGAACUUAGCAUGAAUACCUUUUGUAUCCUUGGUAAGCACAUAGAAAGAAUUAAGCUUAAUUGAGGAUACAUAAGCUUUGGGUUUCUUGUUCAUGCAUUGUUGCUCUAGGUGACCAACUUGCUUGCAAGCUUUGCAAUACCGGCCAUUUUUCUUCACAAAACUAGUCUUGUGAGGAGCAAAGGCGGCCUUGCCUUUCUUGGGGUUAUAGCCUAAUCUCUCUUUAUAGAGAGAAGCUCUUUGGCUACCCAAGCACAUAAGCAAGCGGCCUCACCACCAUAAGCCUUGGCUAAGGUGUGAUUGAGCUCUUUCACCUCCUUCUUGAGAAUUUCAUUCUCAACUUUAAGUGUGGUCUCACAUGUGAAACCAUCACCACUCGAUUAGGAUGAUGUAGAUGAGCUACAUGAAGGGUUAGUAGAAGCAACAACAAUAGGGUUGCUUAAGAUAUCACAUGUUAUGCCUAUGUUGCAAGUUUGAGCUUUUUCAAUUUUAGUUGGCUCAUUUUCACAUUUGUUAACUAGAGAGGAAUGAGCUUCUUCAAGCUUAGUGUGAGCAUUUUGAAGCUUCUUAUGGUCUUCCUUUAGACUCUCAUAAGAUGCUCUAAGCUCAUCAAGUUCUUACUCAAGGGUUUUCUUAUCCUUAAGCAAGGCCUUGCACUCCUUUCUAGUUUCUUUAUAAUGAUGAGUGCAAUCUUCUAGCAUAGUGAUUAGUUCAUCUUUAGUUGGUUCGUCAUCAUCACUAUCACUAUCACUAGCAUGGUCACUCUCAUCCUCGGAUGAUACCUUAGUGGCCUUAGCCAUGAAGCAUGAUGGAGUGUCGAAGAUGGAGCUCUUUUCUUGAAUGGCAAUGCUAGCAUGCGCCUUCUUCUUAGUGCUCUCAUCAUCACUUGAGGAGUCAUCACUAUCCCAAGUUGCAACAUGGGCAUCACCCUUCUUCUUGUUUGAGCCUUCCUUCUUUUCUUGCUUCUUCUUUUGCUUCUUCCUUUCCUUCUUGAUAGCAUCUUCAUCAUCACUAUCAUAAGGACACUUGGCGAUGAGAUGAUCGUUGCUAUGGCAUCUAAAGCACCUCAUGGAGUAAUCAUUCUUCUUAGAAGAGUUCUUCUUUCUUCUUGCUCGAUAGCCUUUCUUCUUCAUGAACUUGCCAAAUCUCUUCACAACAAGAGCCAUCUCCUCAUCUUCAUCACUAUCACAAGAGCUUGCUUCUUCUUCACUUGAUGAUUCUUGCUUAGCUUUGCCCUUGGAUGUGGAGGCCUUGAAUGCCACACUCUUCUUCUUCUCAUCAUCCCUCUUUUCACCUUCCUUCUUCCUUUUCUUGACCAACUCAUCCUUCUCAUCAUCUUCUCUAUAAGCAUGAUCGGUCAUUACUUCUUGGAACACUUGUUGGGGAGUUGAUUCACUAAGUGUUGUCUUGACUAGCACGGUGAUCAAUGUGUCAAAUCUCUUGGGCAAGCUUCUCAAGAAUUUCAUAGAGAAUUGACUAUCUUUCACUUCUUCCCCAAGUGCCUUGAGCUCAUUCACGAUGACUUGCAACCGGUGAAACAUCUCCGGCACACUUUCAUCCUCUUGCAUCUUGAAGCUUGAGAACUUUUCUUAGAGGAUGUAUGCUUUGGCGGUCUUGGUUCCCUUGGUUCCCUCAAAUGUUUCUUCUAAUUUUGCCCAUGCAUCAUGAGCAAUCUCAAUAUUCUUAAUUUGCUCAAAGGUCUUGUCAUCAAGAGCUUCAUGAAGAGCACUAAUGGCAAUAUCAUUGCAUUGUAGCUUCUUCUCUUCGACCGGUGUUGGUGCAUUUUCAUUUGCAACCUCAAACUUUGUUUCGGUCACCUUCCAAACCUCUCUAUUGAUUGACUUGAGAUGAGCGGUCAUCUUGGACUUCCAAUAUGCAUAAUUGGUGCCAUCAAAGUAAGGUGCCUUCUUUGUGUUGUUGAUAUACAAACUAAGAGCCAAUUCUUCACCGUAGGUUGUUAAGCCUCAAAUAAACGGUGCCUCGGCUCCGAUGCCACUUGAAAGGUCCAAAUGGCUAGAGGGGGGGUGAAUAGCCUAUUUAAAUUUUCUACAAACUUCAACUUGACAAGUUGAUUAGUAAAACAAAAGGCGAAGCUAUUCUAACACUAGCACAACUAAGCUAUGCAAGCCACCUACACAAGUCUAAUAAGAAAGCUAAACACUAGUUACAACAAGAAAGCACAACUAGAAGCUUGCUACACUCCUAAACAAGAAGACUAAACUAAACAAGCUAAACAACUAGCAAGGUAAAUAAGUAAGUAAAGGAGUGAAGAGUGAUUGUUAUACCAACGUUGUAGAGUAGAGAUAUGUCCAACCAAUCACUCACAAUCACAAGAGAAUCCUCGGCAAGAGAUGACACAAGAAUUUUUACCGAGGUUCACUUGCUUCCCGGCAAGCUAGUCCUCGUUGUGGCGAUACACCCACUUGAUGGAUCACGAGCUAAUUGGCAAUCCAAAGCCAAACCCUCAGCGGGUGCCGCACAUCCACUCACAAGAUGGGGAUCCUCCAAGCCCCGAGCAAUCCACUAGAGUAGCCAAUUGCGAUCUCCCGCGGGGAAGGCUCAAGAACCCCUCACAAGUCACUUGGUGAGGCUCGAAACAAUCUCCAAUCACGAGCUCAACACCACCGCUGCUCCAAGCCGUUGAAAGGUCCUAAUAUGGCUAGAGGGGGGUGAAUAGCCUAUUUAAAAAUUCUACAAACUCACUAGAGCAAGAGGUUAGUAAAUAACAAAGCGAAGCUUUUUGCUCUAGCUCUAAUGGGGUGUAUGCAAGCCACCUACCCAACAAUUCUAGUUGCUAUGAUCACUAUGCGCACAAGAACUAAGUCACUACUUACACUAGAAAGCUACCUAAAGUUUCUAUACAAGUAAGUAAGCUACUCUAGUUUGCGGGAAUGUAAAAGAGAUGGUUUGAACUUUAUACCGCCGCGUAGAGGGGAUGAACCAAUCAAUAAUAUGAAGUCCAAUCACCGGAAGAAAUCCAAUGAACAAUCACAAUGGAGACACACAAUUUUUCUCCCGAGGUUCACGUGCUUGCCGGCACGCUACGUCCCCGUCGUGUCGAACAACACUUGGUGGUUCGGUGGCUAAGAGGUGUAGCACGAACCUCGUCCUCACUAGGACACCACAAGAACCUACCCACAAGUGAGGUAGCUCAAUGACACGAGCAAUCCACUAAUGUUGCCUUUGGCACUCCGCCGAGGUAGGCACAAACCUCUCACAAUCACCGGGAGAUGGCCACGAACAAUCACCAACUCGUGCCAAUCCUCCUCCGCUGCUCCAAGCCGUCUAGGUGGCGGCAACCACCAGGAGUAACAAGAAAACCGUAGCUAAAACGAUCCCCAAGUGCCACUAGAUGCAAUCACUCAAGCAAAUGCACUUGGAAUCACUCCCAAUCUCACAAAGAUGUUUAAUCUAUGGAGGAGAUGAGUGGGAGGUGUUUGCUUAGGCUCACAAGGAUGUCAAGUAUGUUAGAAUGCCAAGAGAGUAAGCCCCAAGCCGGCCAAACACGUAUUUAUAGCCCCUCAAACAAAUAGAGCCGUUGGCUCUUUCACUGGGCGAAAAACGGGGUCACCGGACGCUCUUAAAGGGGCACCGGACGCUCAGCCCUUGCGUCCGGUGCUCCAACGUCAGCCGCGUGUCAGAGUCUAACGGUAACCUGCAGAGCACUGGACGCUUGAGCAAGUUAGCACCGGACGUCCGGUGCACACCGGACUCAUGCGCAGAGAGCUCCGUAAACUCGCAGGGUCACCGGACGCAAGCCACCGGACGCACCCUUAGCGUCCGGUGCUCACCGGACCCAUGCGCAGAGAGGGUCGCCAAGACGCCCGCACACCGGACGCGCACCACCGGACGCUCAAGCCAGCGUCCGGUGCCUAUCGUCCGGUGCCUUACCCUAGCUGGGCUAGGCACUGUCUGCACCGGACGCUCAGACUUAGCGUCCGGUGCCUCAGUGGCCAGCGUCCGGUGAGUGUUUUCUCAGCGAGAAACACUCCCACGACUUCUCCAAAAUUUCCCACCGGCGCAAUAGAAAAUAUGCACUUCAUUUUCUCGAAAAGCGCCGAAUCCUGCCUCGCAAGCUCGGCGGGAGGGAGAGAGGAACCCAUCCCCUCUCUACCCUUGAAACUCGACCUCCUUCUCAAAGUGUGCCAACACCACAACGUGUGUACCAACGAGCGUGCACGUGUGUUAGCAUUUUCACAAUCAUUUUCUUUGAAGGAGUUAAGUUAGCUCACUAGGUUCUAAAUGCAUGCACAUGAACAAUGACACCUAGUGGCACUUGAUAACCGCUUAGCCAAAGAAUUCCCCUCUUUAUAGUACGGCUAUCUAUCCUAAAUGUGAUCACACCCUCUAUGGUGUCUUGAUCACCAAAACCAAAACCCUAAGCAAUACCUUUGCCUUGAUCUCCAAAGGGUUUUGUUUUUCUCUUUCUUCUUUUCCAAGUUGAGCACUUGAUCAUCUUGUGGUCAUCACCAUCAUCACCAUGAUCAUUACUUGCUCCAUCACUUGGCAUGUACCAACCUCAUUAAGUCUACACACACUUAGUAUAGAGGUUAGUACUAGGGUUUCAUCAAUUAUCCAAAACCAAACUAGGGCUUUCAAUCUCCCCCUUUUUGGUAAUUGAUGACAACCCUUUUUACAAAGAUUUUCAUUAAAAUUUUCUAGGAUUCAUGUUGCUUGCCCAAGCAUUUUACCAUGUGCAAAGGUUAUGGACAAGUUUCAUAAACCCAAAUUGGUAGCAAUUGCUCCCCCUACAUAUGUGCUAAGAGUUUGGAUUUGAAAGCUUGCACAUAUGCUUGAAUAGGAAAAAUAGGAGUCAAUUUCUACCAAAUGAUGCUAAGGUGUAAAGAAUGGACCUUUGAAGCGUGAUACCAAUCGGAGUUGCCAAUAUAUACCAUCCUUAGCACCAUUAGUAACUAGACAUUCACAAAACUAGAACACCUCGUGAGAUCAACAUUAUAAACAAGGUUCUAGUACCACUUGUGAAACAACUAAAAGUCUAGUUACAAUAUCUAUGCAUGCUAGUUUUUCAUUUCAUCAAUCAAAUUUACAACUAGCAAACACCACACAAGCAAGGUAUCGGAGAGAAAGCUUCUAAAGCUAAUGCAAAUGCAAGCAACCAUAUGUGAUGCACAUUCAAAUGCAACAUACAAGUUUAUGAGCUUGCUCCCCCUACUUGUGUGCUUCAAAAUUUUAAAUUUUAAUUGAUCCCCUUCUUUUAUUAUGUUACUCUCCUAUCUUAAAUCUUUGGGAAAUUCUCUCCCCCUUUGUCAUCAAAGACCACAAAAGGUGAGCUCAAAUUUUAGAUAGGUUAGUGUGAAACCAUGUGAAGUGAGAUCAUUUGCCUAAAUUUGGUUCAAUCUAGAUUACUUGGCUAAGAUAUUUAACUCGGUUUGAUCCAAGGACAAGCUUCUUCACACCUCCAAAUAAGGGUUAUCUUGUACCAUGUUGAGUUAAACACUUAUAGCUCAUAUUCUAGAUCAAACACUAGGAUUGCAAGCCCACAAACAUGUCAUAUGCUACCACUAGAUCAUGUCAAGCGUAGAAACAAUAGUGGUACCAUACAAGCAUCAAAUUAAUUUGAUUUUCAUGAAUGAUCCUAAGACAUGUAAGAAAUGACUAAAUGCACUAAACAAGUCUUUAGCAAAGAUGGAUGACAUGUCAAACAAUUUCACCUUGCUUUGCUCGAAGGAGAGGCAUGUCAUAAAGUGGGGGUGCAUCAACACAUAUUUGAGAAGUCAAGUAUGUUCAAUUCAUUCCUUAGCUUGCAAAACCUCUUCUCAUCAAGUGGCUUGGUGAAUAUAUCGGCAAGUUGAUCAUCGGUGCCUAUACUUUCAAUGCAAAUGUCCCCUUUUUGUUGGUGAUCUCUUAUGAAGUGAUGGCGGACAUCUAUGUGCUUUGUUCUUGAGUGUUGAACCGGAUUGUUGGUGAGCUUCACGGCACUUUCAUUGUCACAUAGCAAUGGCACUUCUUUGAAAUUGAUUCCAAAGUCCUUCAAUGUUGCCUUCAUCCAUAGGAUUUGUGCACAACAACUACCGGCCGCAAUGUAUUCCGCUUCGGCGGUUGAUAGUGCAACACUAUUUUGCUUCUUGGAUGACCAUGAGACAAGUGAUCUUCCCAAUAGUUGACAUGUGCCCGAUGUGCUUCUUCUUUCAACUUUGCAUCCCGCAUAGUCCGAGUCGGAAUAUCCAACAAGUUCAAACUUUGCACCUUUGGGAUACCAUAAACCAACAUUUUGUGUAUGCUUCAAGUACCUCAAUAUUCUCUUUGUUGCUUUCAAAUGACUUUCUCUUGGUGAGGCUUGAAAUCUUGCACACAUGCAUACACUAAACAUGACAUCCGGUCUUGAUGCGGUCACAUAGAGUAGGCUUCCAAUCAUGGACCGAUACAACUUUUGAUCCACCAUAUUUCCACUUGUAUCACUGUCUAGGCUUCCAUUUGUUCCCAUUGGUGUGCUAAUUGAUUUUGCAUCAUCCAUACCAAACUUCUUGAGCAUGUCUUUUAUGUACUUGCCUUGACUCACAAAUGUGCCAUUUUUCAAUUGCUUGAUUUGAAGACCAAGGAAGUAACUAAGUUCUCCAAUCAUUGACAUCUCAAACUCAUUAGCCAUCAUGUUUCCAAACUCCUCACAAAAUUCUUGAUUGGUUGAUCCAAAUAUGAUAUCAUCAACAUAGAUUUGCAACACAAACAAGUCUUUGCCAAUCUUCUUGGUGAAGAGAGUGGUGUCAACCUUGCCCAUCUUGAAACCUUUAGAGAGUAAGAAAUCUCUCAAUCUCUCAUACCAUGCUCUAGGUGCUUGCUUCAAACCAUACAAUGCCUUUCUUAGCUUGUAAACAUGGUUGGGUUUCUUGUCAUCUUCAAAACCGGGAGGUUGCUCAACAUAUACUUCUUCAUUGAUAUAUCCAUUGAGAAAUGCACUCUUGACAUCCAUUUGGUAUAGCUUGAUGUUAUGAGCACAAGCAUAGGCCAACAAGAUCCUAAUUGCUUCUAAUCUUGAAACCGGGGCAUAUGUUUCACCAAAGUCAAGACCUUCAACUUGAGUGUAACCUUGUGCUACCAAUCUUGCUUUGUUCCUUACAACUAUCCCAUCUUGAUCUUGUUUGUUGCGAAAGACCCAUCUAGUACCAAUGACAUUGUGAUCACUAGGCCUCUCAACUAAUUCCCAUACUUGAUUUCUCUUGAAAUUGUUAAGCUCUUCAUGCAUAGCAUUAACCCAAUCAACAUCUCUCAAUGCUUCAUCAAUCUUCUUUGGCUCAAUGUGAGACACAAAGGAGAAAUGCUCACAAAAUGAUGCUAAUCUUGAUCUAGUUUGCACUCCUCUUUGAAUGUCACCUAUGAUAUGAUCCAAUGGAUGAUCUCUUGUAAUAUUUGUUGGUUGGAGUAUUUGCACUUGAUUGCUUGCACUUGGUUGAUCAUGAGAUGAUGUACUAGCUUGAUGAUCUUGCACUUGUGUACCACUUGUACUAGCUUGAUUUUGAUCAUGUGAACCACAAGCUUGCACAUUAGAGGUAGGAAUCACUUGAUCUUUGUCAUCUUCAUCAAUCACCUCUCUAGGCCUUAAAUCACCAAUAUCCAUAUUUUUCAUUGCAUCGGCCAAUUGAAUGCCUCUCACAUCAUCUAGAUUCUCUUCUUCCUCAUGAGAGCCAUUGGUUUCAUCAAACUCAACAUCAUGCACCUCCUCAAGAGUACCACUAGCCAAAUUCCAAACUCUAUAAGCUUUGCUAGUAGUGGAGUAACCAAGCAAGAAUCCUUCAUCACAUUUCUUUUCAAAUUUACUCAAUCUAGUGCCUUUCUUCAAUAUGUAGCAUUUGCAACCAAAAACCCGAAAGUAUGCAAUAUUGGGCUUCCUUCCAUUCAAGAGCUCAUAUGGUGUCUUCUCCAUCAUUGGGUGACAAUAAAGUCGGUUGCUAUAGUAGCAAGCCGUGUUGAUUGCUUCGGCCCAAAAAGAAUGACUCAUAUUGUAUUCACUCAACAUUGAUCUUGCCAUGUCAAUCAAGGUUCUAUUCUUCCUCUCAACAAGACCAUUUGAUUGUGGAGUGUAUUUAGCCGAGAAUUGAUGCCUAAUGCCAAAUUCAUCACAAAGCUCAUCAACUCUUGUAUUCUUGAAUUCACUUCCAUUGUCACUUCUCACUUUCUUGAUGGUUGUUUCAAACUCAUUGUGUAUUCUCUUGACAAAUGAUUUGAAGGUUGCAAAAGCAUCACUUUUGUCACUAAGAAAGAAUACCCAUGUAUAUCUUGUGAAAUCAUCCACUAUCACAAAUCCAUAUUUGUUUCCACCAAUGCUUAUGUAUGUGGUUGGUCCAAAUAAGUCCAUGUGCAACAACUCAAAUGCCUUGCAUGUACUCAUGAUGCUCUUCUUUGGAUGAGUGUUGCCAACUUGCUUUCCGGCUUGACAUGCACUACAAAGCUUGUCUUUCUCAAAUGUGACAUCUUUCAAGCCUCUAACAAGAUUAUGCUUAACUAACUUGUUCAAUUGUUUCAUACCAACAUGACCAAGCCUUCUAUGCCAUAACCAACCCAUGCUAGAUUUAGUGAGCAAGCAUGUUGACAAUUGAGCUUCACUUGCAUUGAAAUCAACCAAGUAUAGAUUCUCAUAUCUAAAGCCUUUGAAUAUCAAGUUUGAGCCAUCUACACUUAUGAUCUCUACAUCAUCAACUCCAAAUAUGCAUUUGAAACCAAGAUCACAAAGUUGAGCUACGGAUAGCAAAUUGAAGUUCAAGCUCUCUACUAGUAGCACAUUGGAAAUGCUCAAGUCAUUGGAUAUAGCAAUUUUACCAAGCCCUUUGACCUUGCCUUUGCCAUUGUCACCAAAUGUGAUACUAUCAACACCAUUGUCAUCAUUUGGAUUGAUUGAAUUGAACAUUCUUGAAUCACCGGUCAUGUGUUGUGUGCACCCACUAUCAAGCACCCAAUGCCUUCCUCCGGCUUUAUAGUUUACCUACAAAACAAAUCAAUGUUUCUUAGGUACCCAUACUUGUUUGGGUCCUUGGAGGUUAGUGACUAAGCUUUUUGGUACCCAAAUGGCCUUCUUCUUUGGACCCACAAUUGGUGUACCGACAAACUUAGCAUGCACACCCUUCUCACCCUUGGUAAGCACAUAACAAGAAUCAAAAGGAAUGUAAGGUACAUUAGCAAUUUUCAUGUUCUUGUUCAUUUUAUUGCAAUUAAGCUCUAGGUGCCCAACUUGCUUGCAUUUGUUGCAAUACCGACCAUUGCUCUUCACAAAGCUAGGCUUGUGAGUUGCAAAGGCUUUCUUGCCCUUCUUGGGGGUAUAGCCUAAUCCCUCUUUGUUGAGAGAAAACCUUUGGCUACCCAAGCACUUUAGCAAGCGGGCCUCACCACCAUAGGCCUUGCCUAGGGCGUGAGUGAGCUCAUCCACCUCUCUCUUGAGAGUCUCAUUCUCAACCUUUAGUGAGGUGUCACAAGUGACACUAACACUAGAAGUGGAGGUAGAGUUGGUAGUGGUGGAUGAAGACCUACAAGAAGAGUUAGUGGCAACAACAAUAGGUGGGUUGGGUGAUUCUUUAAUUAAGUCACAUGUUGUGCCCACAUCACAUGAUACAACAAUCUUUUCCUUGUUCUCUUCUAACAACAAGGAGUGAGCUUUCUCAAGCUUGGUGUGGGCCUUGCCAAGCUUCUCAUGGGCUUCCACUAGCCUCUCAUGAUUAGCAUUGAGCUCAUCAAAGGAUUGCUCAAGAGCUUUUAACUUCUUGGUCAAUUCUUUGCACUUCUUGUUUUUAGAUUGAAUAAGUGAAUCGGCUUGUUCUAGCAUGUCCAUGAGUUGUUUAUUAGUGAAUUCAUUUUCAUCAUCACUAUUGUUGAUAUUUGGGAACGCAAUAAGGAAUUGAUCCGCAAGCGCACGGAUAUCGGUGAGCAUUUCACCCGAGAAAUUAUCCAGAGUAUCGUAUUUAUUUUUUUACCACUAGGAGAAAGAGUGCAUCUGACUAACCGGUCUAUUACUACUAACCUUUAGGCACAAAGAAUGUCUUUCGAUGUGAGUGAUAGAGAAGACUGCAACCGUAGUCUCCUUCUAACCUUGGUAAGGAUGAUCUAUUGUUCUAAUGGGGAGGCUAACGGAAUCUAGACAACACAAAGGAUGUUCGACCCGCACCUAUAAACCCUAUCCUUCCUGCUAACGAGAUGUGAUCUACAAAGGUAGCUCGGAAUUGUCACGUUCCUCACUACUACCACGGUCCAGCUAGUCAGGGAAUAUCUAUGAGUACCCCAGCCUAAACACCACGUUUACGCCAGCAAUGAUUACUCUAAACUCUACGCGAAGAGAUUAAAGUAAACUCAUAAACCAUAAGAACAAUAAAACAAGAACUUACUAGAAUUUAGAAGUCGAAUUACUGAAGAAUCCUAGGAGCAAGCUUCGGGUUAGGAGAACUUGAUCCCGCAGGUACAAGCUUGGAGUAGACACCGACAGGUCGGGCUUCCUCCACUCUACACCUCCACUCUAUAUCUCUCAAUCUAGUAGAAACUAGAAGAUCUAUUUCUACCUUACAUUGAUUGCUAAGCCUAAAAAGAAAUAUUAAUUAGAGAAGAGGUUUUCCUUCAAGGGCACCCCUCAGUCUCUAUGAUAAUUUCUUCAUGUCCUCCAGGGGCCAGGGGGGCCUCGCUUAUAUAGUCCUCCCCUUCUAUGCGUUUUUAGGUCGAUAGCCGAGGUGGUACUAUGUUUUUCUUGAUCCAAUAGGUCGGUGGAAUAUCCCGAGUGAAGGAGUCCUGAAUUGGCUCCAACAGGGGGGCGGGCGCCCAGGCUACCAGGGCGGGCGCCCUGGGCCUGGCCCAGCUUUGCCUCCGCUUUGGUCUCGUGGCUUCUGGAGUCUUCUAGAUGAUGUAAAAUUGCGCGGUGCGUUGAUAUCUCUAUGUAAUCCCGACAUGUGGGCCUUUCUUCCUUAUUUCCUGAUAACCCCCUGCAGAAAUAGAUAAACAACAAAACUCGUGGAAUUCUGUCAGAUCAAACCCUAAUUCUAGGUGAUGGUUGCAUAUUGGUCCUUUCUCUUGUUUAUUUGAUAAUUAAAAUUGAUACUUAAGAACCGUCAACAAAUACCCCCAUACUUAGGCUUUUACUCGUCCUCGAGAAAAGGAUGGUUGAGAAUAAUAUCUGGGGUAAACAUUUAAAACAUUCUCUUUAUAAUUGCAGGGUGUCAAAAAUUCCACUGUGUACCAUAGUCAUGGAAGUAUAUGGUUAAGAGUAAAGAUCCUUUCUUCUCAAUCCUGUCACUUGGAGUUUUUGUAUAUUUUUGAAAGAAAGUUAGCAUACCUUUUUAUCCUCAUAGGUUCUCUCAGAUCACUCAUUAUCUUUUGUAUAUAUAUCUCACUGAGGCUGUUUUAAUUUUGCAAAAAUUCUCAAGCAUACUUACUUUGCAUUUAUUGCUUGAUCAAAACGGGAUCCGAGGAGGGGAAUGUCAUACUCUUAGAUCAAAGACUUUAGAAAUUAAAAACUUUGUCAACUCUUGCUGGCAUAUUGCUUAUUAGAGGGACCAUGGGCUAUCAUUUUUUUUCUCUUUUUCUCUCUCUCUUUUUUUUUAAGUGGAUACCGAGGUACCCCUAAUUCUACUGCCGGACACUUGUCCAUUUUUUCUGCGAGGUUGUCGAGCACUUGCUCCUUUUUAUUUCCUCGAAAUAUCUUCUAUUUUUGCAUAGCCCAUGCCUCUAAUGCAAUAAUACUUCGGAAGAGUGAAUCUUACUGAAAUAGUGUCUUGAUCUUGGGAGCAUGAUAAAUCUCUCAACAAGGGUCUAACUUAUUUUGAACAAACUCAAUACAGAGCAGAUAGCUUUUAUAAUCAUAAUUAAUAUUUUCAGUCUUAUCAGGCAUAUAAAACACUGAGGAUGGUAGCUAUAAUUUUGAAUAUUUUGAAAUAAAUUCUCCAAGCAACAAUGAUAUCAAGAAUAAGAAACUCAUACUCUACCAUCACAUAUUCCAUAAUGACUUAAGUAACACAGGGUUUUAAAAUGACUUUAUAAUAAUUGCAAGUUUUCAGGAAAUAUCACAGAUUGAGAUUAAUCAUGAUUAGAAAUAUUUUACUCUUUUUAUUUUAUCAUGUCGGAAACAGUAAUCUGCAUAAUCCAAAAUAAAUGUAUGUAUGAAGUAAAGUGUGCAGAAUGUGUACCUGAAUCGUGGAGUGGUGUAGUCGGAGUGUGUUUGGCAUGUUGAGGGAUCUCCCCCAUACUUGUUUUCUGCUUUCUUGCACAAAAGUAAAGUAGAGACACACAAGACAUAAUAAUAAUAAUAAUACUCUUUAUUGAUCUUGAGGCAUUUAUUACAAAAGACUGAUAGCAAACUGAUGAUAAUAGUAAAUUGAUGAUAAUAGCAAACCUAAACCGAAUUUAAAGAUAGAUAACUAAGAUGCAUUGCCUCAAGGUCUAAUCUAGAUAACUUAGCGGCGCUCUAAUUCCUUGAUCUUCCUGUUGGCACUGGCAAGAUCCUGCCUAAGGCCUAGUAUAACGGUGUUGUGGUUAGAGAGCUGCCUAGUGAGGGAAUUAAUCGAGGACUGGAGGUCUAUGAUAACUCUAUCUAACCUGCGAACUUUCUCAUCAAUAUCCAUUAUAGUCUUGCGACGCUUGGGAGGUGUCUCAAAAGCAUUGAGAGAGUGCUUUGGGGCUGCCUUUGGAGGGAUGAAACGGACUUUGGCUGCUCUAAUCCCUUCAAAGUAAGGCCUUUCCUCCUUCGUAGUGUAGCGAACGCUGCUGAUCUCGCCGCUUCGGUUGGUCUUGACUCCAACGACCCUCUCAUUGGGUCUAGGUGGAAGGAUCCUUGUGCCGAUUGGCACCUUGAUAGUGGUCUUCGUCUUGGAUGAUGGUCCUUUGAGGAGUAGGGGUUGUGGUGGUGCGGUGAGAACUGGUUGAGCAUGGUAAGAUUGGGCGGAGCUGCGUUGACGUAAUGGUAUGGCUUCUAGCUGACGCUCUGUGUUGGCCGGGACGAGAGCACUAGCAUCGGGGUCUUCCACUGGCUCCAUGUUGAGGUUGAAGGGGACGACUUCCCAAUCAUCGUGGUAUUUCUCGGCCAUUGGAGUAGCAAGGAACUAAUAAAAUUUUAAUUGAAAGAGAGCUAAUCAAGCUCUAAUUGAAGGAGAGAAAGCUUGGUGGCUUGGUGUUUGAAAACUGAGGUCAGGGGUCUGUUUAUAUAGGGGUCAAAAGGGUGCCUCUAUGGGUUGUUCGGGUUGCUCCCGUCGAUGUGCGUGCGAAACUUUCCAUCCGAGGGAUUAUUCGGAUCACCCUAAGUGCAUUUUCCAUAACAGAGAAAGUCGGGACCGAGAGGGAACAGGGGCUGGGCGCCCGCCCUCUUUCUGGCCCCUCUGUGGGCCCACUUCUCCGAGCGUGCUUCUAGAUGCGAAAUUAUUUAGAAAAAAUAUAUAUAUGACCCAAAACCGUCAGACCAAAAAAAUAUCGGGCUCUAAUUCUCCAUGGGAAGGUAAAAAUGGACUACGUCUAUUUCUUCAAAUUCCUCAUUGGGCUCUAAAAAUAAUUUAAGACGUUGACCAUUUACCUUGAAUAACGUACCUUCGCUGUUCUGAAGUGUGAUAGCUCCGUGGGAUGACGAAUUGAUUACCUUGAAUGGUCCUUCCCAUUUGCUCCGGAGUUUUCCAUGCCCGAAAAGCUUUACCCUGGAAUUAAAAAGUAAUAUCUUAUCUCCGGGUGUGAAUUCCUUCUUCUUGAUUCUCUUGUCAUGCCACCUCUUGACUCUUUCUUUGUAGAUCUUUGAAUUGUGAUAUGCCUUCUCUCGCCAUUCUUCCAAUUCUGAUAGUUGCAUUCUUCUAUAAUCUCCAGCAACAUCUAGGUCCAUAUUCCAUCUCUUUAUGGCCCAGUGUGCUUUGAAUUCUAGUUCAACAGGUAGAUGGCAAGUCUUCCCGUACACCAAUUGGUAUGGAGACAUCCCAAUUGGGGUCUUGUAUGCUGUCCGGUAUGCCCAGAGUGCAUCGGGUAACUUGUCUUUCCACGCCGUUCCCAUUUCAUUUACCGUCUUCUGAAGAAUAUUCUUGAUUUGUUUGUUGGAAGUCUCUGCUUGGCCACUUGUCUGAGGAUGAUAGGGGGUAGCGACGUUGUGACGGAUUCCAUGUCUUGAUAGAUAUUGCUUGAAGCGUUUGUCGAUGAAGUGUGCUCCUCCAUCACUUAUCACUACUCUGGGAACUCCAAAUCUUGGAAAUAUAAUUUCUUCAAACAUCCUCUUUGAACUGACGUUCUCGGCAUGCUUGCAAGGUAAUACCUCUACCCACUUGGAGACAUAGUCAACUGCCACCAAGAUAUACUCACACUUCUUUGAUGGAGGAAAUGGACCCAUGUAGUCUAUUCCCCAGACAUCAAAGAGCUCAAUCUGAAGGUUGUUGGUGAGUGGCAUUGCAUCCCUUGUAUUUAUGUUUCCGUGCCUUUGACAUGGCCCACAUCUUCUAAUAUAUUGCUUCGUGUCCUCAUACAUUGUAGGCCAAUAGAAUCCACACUGCCAGAUCUUUGAAUGUGUACGGAAUGCUCCAUAGUGACCUCCAUAUGGUGAUGAAUGACAUCUGUCGAUGAUCUUCCAUCCUUCCUCAGUGGUCACACAUCUCCUGAGUAAGCCAUCAGAGCAUACUCGGAAGAGGUAUGGCUCAUCCCAUAUAUGUGAACGACUUUCUUGAAUAAGCUUCUUCUUGUUUGCUCCUGGUGGUACAUACCCUGAAACCAUAAAAUUAACAAUAUCUGCAUACCAGGGGUCAGACCUGUUAAUCCCGUAGAGCAUGUCGUCCCGAAGUGAAUCAUUGAUGGGGGUUUCCAGUGGACUCUUAAAAUACAUUCUAGACAAGUGAUCAGCAAUAGAAUUUUCUACUCCUUUUUUAUCUUUUAUUUCUAAGUCUAAUUCUUGGAGUAAUAAGAUCCAUCUAAUCAGGCGAGGUUUAGCAUCUUUUUUAGUGAGCAAAUAUUUUAAUGCAGCAUGAUCAGUGUAAACAAUUAUUUUAGCUCCAACUAAAUAAGAUCUAAAUUUAUCAAUGGCAAAGACAACAGCUAGAAGCUCUUUUUCAGUGGUUGCAUAAUUAAGUUGAGCUCCUGUCAAAGUUUUACUGGCAUAAGCAAUUGCAUGAUGCUUCUUAUCUUUAGUUUGUCCCAAUACUGCCCCCACAGCAUAAUCACUAGCAUCACACAUAAUUUCAAAAGGCAACGACCAAUCAGGGGGUUGAAUGAUUGGUGCAGAGAUGAGUGCUUUCUUUAAUAAAUUGAAAGAUGUUAGACAUGCAUCAUCAAAUUCGAAAGGAGCAUCUUUGGCUAGCAAAAGAGUAAGUGGUCUAGCAAUAAAUGAAAAAUCUUUUAUGAAUCUACGAUAAAAACCAGCAUGGCCAAGAAAGCUUCGAAUUCCUUUUAUAUUCACGGGUGGAGGUAGUUGUUCAAUUACUUCAAUUUUAGCUUUGUCUACCUCAAUACCUCUUUCAGACACUAAGUGUCCUAGCACUAUUCCUUCUCUAACCAUAAAAUGACAUUUUUUCCAAUUAAGGAUUAAGUGCUUUUCUUCACAUCUUUGCAAAACCUUGUCUAAGUUUUCAAGACAACUAUCAAAAGUUUUUCCAUAAACAGAGAAAUCAUCCAUGAAAACUUCCAUAAUCUCUUCAAUCAUAUCAGAAAAUAUAGACAUCAUGCAUCUUUGAAAAGAAGCUGGUGCAUUACAUAACCCGAAAGACAUUCUACGAUAAGCAUAAGUUCCAUAUGGGCAUGUAAAAGUGGUUUUGCUUUGAUCAUCGGGAUGGAUCGGGAUUUGAUGAUACCCUGAAUAUCCAUCUAAGAAACAGAAGAAUGAAUGGUUUGCUAACCGCUCUAGCAUCUCAUCUAUAAAAGGUAAAGGAAAGUGAUCCUUUCUCGUGGCUCUGUUUAAUUUUCUAUAGUCUAUGCACAUCCGCCAUCCUGUGACGGUGCGUUGCGGAAUUAGCUCAUUCUUUUCAUUCAUAAUAACUGUCAUGCCUCCCUUUUUAGGCACAACUUGCACUGGGCUUACCCACUCACUGUGCGGCACAGGAUAUAUAAUCCCUGCAUGCAGCAACUUUAUAACUUCCUUUUUAACUACCUCUCUCAUAGUGUUGUUAAGUCUACGUUGGGGUUCUCGAGAGGGUGUAACAGAAGGAUCUGUUGGAAUACGAUGGGUACAAAUCAUAGGACUGAUUCCUGUAAGAUCUUGAAGUGAGUAGCCGAAAACUGAUUGAUGUUUCUCAAGAAUGGUCAUUAAUCGCAGAGUUUGAUCCUGAGUGAGUUUAUCGCUAAUGAUCACAGGGAACUCUGGAUUAUUGUUUAGGAAAGCAUAGGUAAGACCGGGUGGUAAAGUCUUGAGCUCUAUAGGAGGUCUAGGUGUUUCUGCAAACUCAACUAAGGGUUCAGGCUCAGAAGGUUCGUCUUCUUCUUCUGUGAAGAAAGGAGUUUCGUCUUCUAAGUCUGGUUCAUCUAAAAGCUCUAGAGAUGCAGCCUUUACCUCCUCCAUAGGAUCAGGCAAAAGAUAUGACUCGGCCUUAUUAUUUAAGGAGUGUGAAAUUAUUAUUGGGAAUUGAAAAGUUUUUCCAAAAGAAAUGUGUAGCUUUCCAGUAUGACCUUCAUAAAGGAGUCUUCUAAAAGGUUGUCCUAUCAACAGGUCGAAGUCCCAUGUAUCAAAGAUAUAGAAGUUCAAAUGAACCAUGGAGCCUUCUACUGUAAGAGGUAGGACAUUAAUAAUUCCAAGACUGGGGACUAAUCGUCCCGAAGAUUCCUUUAUGACCUUUGUUGUGGGGGUUAAGAUAAGAUUUUUAAAUAGUUUAAGUGCAAAGGAUUCAGACAUAAUGUUGAUCCCCACAACAGGAUUAUAAAGAGCAUUAAAUCGAUCAGAAUUAUAAGCACAACGUAUAGUUAUAGAGGGUGUGUCCAAUCGGAUCACAUCAGAGGAAAGCUCUGAUUCCUCCAACCAUUCGCUACUCAUUACUGAGAUAAGCUCUCUCAAUUGAUAUUCACUUGGUAAAUAAAUGCUAAACUGGCCGUUUUGGGGUUUGUCAAUAGAAUGGUAAUUUGAAAUAUUUCCAAAAUCGGCAAAAAGAUCGGACUCUAUAUCCAGCAUGAAGUCCGGUAGUGGAAUUUCUUCCUCUUGUGGCUCAGAACUUGGGAUAGCUAAAGUAGAAGAAUUUGGCAGAGUGUCUACUUCGGCUUCGUAGGUUUCAUCAUGAAGGGUAUUAUCCAUCUCAGCUUCUAGGAUUCUAUCUAGGAUCACUCUAGCUUCAUCAGCAGGGAUGCGAAAGAAAGAACCUCUAGACAUAGUGUGCAGCAUUUGUUUGUGAUUUUUAUGAAGACCUCGAAAAAAGUGAAAUAAAAGAACAGGGUCUUCAAGAUUAAGGUUUGGACCAGAUUCUAAAAGAUCAGAAAAACGUUUCUAGGAUUUUCCCAAAGUUUCAUUAUCUUUUUGUUUAAAAGAUAGGACUUCGAGUCUAAGGUCGGCUAUACGGUCAAGGGAAUAGAAAUCUAGACAAAAGUUGGCUCGUAAAACUCCCCAUUCACCUUGUUGUUGACUUACCUUCUGACUGUACCAUUGUCUAGCUUCUCCCCUUAGAGAAAAAGGAAAAAGCUUCCAACGUAAAGUCUUAUCAGAAAUGCCUUCAAUGCGAAGACAAUCACAUGUUUGCUCAAAAUCUCUAAUAUGAAGGUAAGGGUUUUCGUCUUCCUUUCCCGAAAAAGAUAGGUUUGAAUCAUGGCAAUCAACCUAGAACUUAACUUAUACUGGGGUGUUUGGAUAGGCUGUGAUGAUUCCCAUGGUAAAAGGUCAGUUGCUAAAGGGAUUGCAGACUCAUGGAUCGAUUUAGAAUUUUGGUUUUCCAUAAGGUAAGAGUAAAGGAAAAUAAAUAAAGAAUAAAAGAUAAGAAAAGAUAAAAGUAUAGAUAAAAGCUAAUAGCAAGACACAGGUUAUCUCAGCAACCGUCUUUCUCCCCGGCAACGGCGCCAGAAAUGCUAGUUGAUAUUUGGGAACGCAAUAAGGAAUUGAUCCGCAAGCGCACGAAUAUCGGUGAGCAUUUCACCCGGGAAAUUAUCCAGAGUAUCGUAUUUAUUUUUUUACCUCUAGGAGAAAGAGUGCAUCUGACUAACCGGUCUAUUACUACUAACCUUUAGGCACAAAGAAUGUCUUUCGAUGUGAGUGAUAAAUAGAGAAGACUGCAACCGUAGUCUCCUUCUAACCUUGGUAAGGAUGAUCUAUUGUUCUAAUGGGGAGCCUAACGGAAUCUAGACAACACAAAGGAUGUUCGACCCGCACCUAUAAACCCUAUCCUUCCUGCUAACGAGAUGUGAUCUACAAAGGUAGCUCGGAAUUGUCACGUUCCUCACUACUACCACGGUCCAGCUAGUCAGGGAAUAUCUAUGAGUACCCCAGCCUAAACACCACGUUUACGCCAGCAAUGAUUACUCUAAACUCUAUGCGAAGAGAUUAAAGUAAACUCAUAAACCAUAAGAACAAUAAAACAAGAACUUACUAGAAUUUAGAAGUCGAAUUACUGAAGAAUCCUAGGAGCAAGCUUCGGGUUAGGAGAACUUGAUCCCGCAGGUACAAGCUUGGAGUAGACACCGACAGGCCGGGCUUCCUCCACUCUACACCUCCACUCUAUAUCUCUCAAUCUAGUAGAAACUAGAAGAUCUAUUUCUACCUUACAUUGAUUGCUAAGCCUAAAAAGAAAUAUUAAUUAGAGAAGAGGUUUUCCUUCGAGGGCACCCCUCAGUCUCUAUGAUAAUUUCUUCAUGUCCUCUAGAGCCUCGCUUAUAUAGUCCUCCCCUUCUAUGCGUUUUUGGGUCGAUAGUCGAGGUGGUACUAUGUUUUUCUUGAUCCAAUAGGUCGGUGGAAUAUCCCGAGCGAAGGAGUCCUGAAUUGGCUCCAACAGGGGCGCGGGCGCCCUGGGCCUGGCCUAGCUUUGCCUCCGCUUCGGUCUCGUGGCUUCUGGAGUCUUCUAGAUGAUGUAAAAUUGCGCGGUGCGUUGAUAUCUCUAUGUAAUCCCGACAUGUGGGCCUUUCUUCCUUAUUUCCUGAUAACCCCCUGCAGAAAUAGAUAAACAACAAAACUCGUGGAAUUCUGUCAGAUCAAACCCUAAUUCUAGGUGAUGGUUGCAUAUUGGUCCUUUCUCUUGUUUAUUUGAUAAUUAAAAUUGAUACUUUAGAACCAUCAACAACUAUCACUAUCAUGUUCAUGUUCACUUUCACUUUCACUCUCAUCAUAUUGUACCUUGUGGCCCUUGGCCAUGAAGCAUGAAGGAGUGUCGAAGAGUGAUGGCUUGUUGUUGAUAGCAAAGCUAGCAAGUGCCUUCUUCUUGGAUGCUUUGUCAUCAUCACUUGAAUCAUCAUCUGAAGAGGCAUCACUAUCCCAUGUCACAACAUAGGAUCCACCCUUCUUCUUCUUCUUCUUGAAAACCAUCUUCUUCUCUUUCUUUUCUUUCUUCUCCUUCUUGUUCUUCUUCUCAUGCUCAUCAUGAUCACUAUUGUAAGGACAAUCCGCCACAAUAUGAUCGGGGCUCUUGCACUUGUAGCAUAGCCUCACAUACUCCUUGUUCUUGGAGUUGUCCCUUCUCUUUCUUGUAUGGUAGCCCUUCUUCUUCAUCAUCUUGCCAAACUUGCGGACAAAGAGUGCUAGUGCUUCAUCAUCACUAUCAUCAUUGGAGCACUCCUCAUCACUUGAUUCUUCCUUCUUGGCCUUGCCCUUGUUCUUGCUCUUGGAUGAAGAGCUAGCUUUGAAUGCUACACUCUUCUUCUUCUUAUCAUCAUCAUCCUUCGUCAUGACCUCAUCAUCAUCGUUGUUAUUGUAUUGAUCUUCGGUCAUGACAUCUCCAAGUACCUCAUUGGGAGAUACACCGGUCAAUCCACCUCUAAAGAUGAUUGUUCUCAAUGUCUUGAAUCUCUUGGGCAAGCACAUUAAGAACUUGUGAAUGAAAUCCUCAUCCUUCACUUUCUCACCAAGGCCCUUGAGAUCAUUGAUGAUGACUUGGAGCCUAUAGAACAUCUCCGGAAUUGACUCAUCAUCCUUCAUCUUGAAGUUUGAAAGCUUGUCCUUGAGCAUGUAUAACUUGGCACUUUUUACCGUUGUAGUGCCCUCAUAUGUUUCUUCUAGUCUUGUCCACACUUCACUUGCCUUCUCAAGAUCUUUGACUUGUUCAAAUACUUUUGAAUCAAUGCCAUUAUAGAUUGUGUUGAGAGCCAUAGUAUUGCAUUGCUUGUUGGCUCUCUCAUUGUCGGUGGGGUUAGCCGGAUCAAGAAUCACAAAGUCAUUUUCGGUAACUUCCCACACUCUAUCAUUUAUUGAUCCAAGAUACAUUUUCAUCUUUCUCUUCCAAUAGUCAAAAGAACUUGUGCCAUCAAAGAACGGUGGUUUGCCCCCAACAUGGUUGAACACUAUUUGAGCCAUAAUUUGAGCACCGAGGUUGUUAAGCCUUCACAAACGGUGACCACGGCUCUGAUACCACUUGAAAGGUCCUAAUAUGGCUAGAGGGGGGGUGAAUAGCCUAUUUAAAAAUUCUACAAACUCACUAGAGCAAGAGGUUAGUAAAUAACAAAGCGAAGCUUUUUGCUCUAGCUCUAAUGGGGUGUAUGCAAGCCACCUACCCAACAAUUCUAGUUGCUAUGAUCACUAUGCGCACAAGAACUAAGUCACUACUUACACUAGAAAGCUACCUAAAGUUUCUAUACAAGUAAGUAAGCUACUCUAGUUUGCGGGAAUGUAAAAGAGAUGGUUUGAACUUUAUACCGCUGCGUAGAGGGGAUGAACCAAUCAAUAAUAUGAAGUCCAAUCACCGGAAGAAAUCCAAUGAACAAUCACAAUGGAGACACACAAUUUUUCUCCCGAGGUUCACGUGCUUGCCGGCACGCUACGUCCCCGUUGUGUCGACCAACACUUGGUGGUUCGGUGGCUAAGAGGUGUAGCACGAACCUCGUCCUCACUAGGACACCACAAGAACCUACCCACAAGUGAGGUAGCUCAAUGACACGAGCAAUCCACUAAUGUUGCCUUUGGCACUCCGCCGAGGUAGGCACAAACCUCUCACAAUCACCGGGAGAUGGCCACGAACAAUCACCAACUCGUGCCAAUCCUCCUCCGCUGCUCCAAGCCGUCUAGGUGGCGGCAACCACCAAGAGUAACAAGAAAACCGCAGCUAAAACGAUCCCCAAGUGCCACUAGAUGCAAUCACUCAAGCAAAUGCACUUGGAAUCACUCCCAAUCUCACAAAGAUGUUUAAUCUAUGGAGGAGAUGAGUGGGAGGUGUUUGCUUAGGCUCACAAGGAUGUCAAGUAUGUUAGAAUGCCAAGAGAGUAAGCCCCAAGCCGGCCAAACAUGUAUUUAUAGCCCCUCAAACAAAUAGAGCCGUUGGCUCUUUCACUGGGCGAAAAACGGGGUCACCGGACGCUCUUAAAGGGGCACCGGACGCUCAGCCCUUGCGUCCGGUGCUCCAACGUCAGCCGCGUGUCAGAGUCUAACGGUAACCUGCAGAGCACCGGACGCUUGAGCAAGUUAGCACCGGACGCGUCCGGUGCACACCGGACUCAUGCGCAGAGAGCUCCGUAAACUCGUAGGGUCACCGGACGCAAGCCACCGGACGCACCCUUAGCGUCCGGUGCUCACCGGACCCAUGCGCAGAGAGGGUCGCCAAGACACCCGCACACCGGACGCGCACCACCGGACGCUCAAGCCAGCGUCCGGUGCCUUACCCUAGCUGGGCUAGGCACUGUCUGCACCGGACGCUCAGACUUAGCGUCCGGUGCCUCAGUGGCCAGCGUCCGGUGAGUGUUUUCUCAGCGAGAAACACUCCCACGACUUCUCCAAAAUUUCCCACCGGCGCAAUAGAAAAUAUGCACUUCAUUUUCUCGAAAAGCGCCGAAUCCUGCCUCGCAAGCUCGGCGGGAGGGAGAGAGGAACCCAUCCCCUCUCUACCCUUGAAACUCGACCUCCUUCUCAAAGUGUGCCAACACCACAACGUGUGUACCAACGAGCGUGCACGUGUGUUAGCAUUUUCACAAUCAUUUUCUUUGAAGGAGUUAAGUUAGCUCACUAGGUUCUAAAUGCAUGCACAUGAACAAUGACACCUAGUGGCACUUGAUAACCGCUUAGCCAAAGAAUUCCCCUCUUUAUAGUACGGCUAUCUAUCCUAAAUGUGAUCACACCCUCUAUGGUGUCUUGAUCACCAAAACCAAAACCCUAAGCAAUACCUUUGCCUUGAUCUCCAAAGGGUUUUGUUUUUCUCUUUCUUCUUUUCCAAGUUGAGCACUUGAUCAUCUUGUGGUCAUCACCAUCAUCACCAUGAUCAUUACUUGCUCCAUCACUUGGCAUGUACCAACCUCAUUAAGUCUACACACACUUAGUAUAGAGGUUAGUACUAGGGUUUUAUCAAUUAUCCAAAACCAAACUAGGGCUUUCAGCCAUCUAGGGCAUCGGGAAACACCCAAGAGUAACAAGAAAUCCGCAGCAAACUCACGAAUCAAGUGCCACUAAAUGCAACUCUCAAAGCAAUGCACUUGAAUCUCACUCAAUCUCACUAGGAUUAGCAAUCAGGCAAGGAGAUGAGUGGAGGGAGUGUUCUCUAGCUCAAAGUAUGCCUCAAGUAAUCAAAUGUGCAAGAGAGAACCCCCAAAAGCCGGCCACCAACUAUUUAUAAGCCCCUCGAAGAAACUAGCCGUUGGCUGUUUUCACUAGGCUAAAAACGGGGGCACCGGACGCUACUAAGUGAGCACCGGACGCUCGACUCCCUGCGUCCGGUGCACUGGAGUUGGCCACGUGUCCGUCCUGAAUCUCGCGUGUCAGAUCCUAACGGUCACCUGCGGAUCACCGGACGCUCUGCAGGUUUACACCGGACGCGUCCGGUGCACACCGGACUCAUGCGCAGAGAGUUUGUCAAACUCGUGACCUCACCGGACGCUGGGCACCGGACGGUCCGGUGCUCACCGGACUCGUACGCAGAGAGGGUUGCAAAAACCCCUCACACCGGACGCUACCAGAGUGCGUCCGGUGCUCAACCCUAGCAGAGUCAAGCUCUGACAGCACACCGGACGCUCGGGCCAGCGUCCGGUGCCUCCGCACUGAGCGUCCGGUGAGUGUUUCCAACUGAGAAACACUUCCGCGACUUCUUCAAAUUUCCCACCGGCGCAAUAGAAAAUAUACACUUAAUUUUCUCAAAAGCGCCGAAUCCCGCCUCGCAAGCUCGGAGGGAGGGAGAGAGGAACCCACACCCCUCUCAACCCUAGGAAAAACACCUCCUUUGCAAAAGUGCUAACACCAACAAGUGUCCACCACCAAAGUGCAAGUGUGUUAGCUUUUCACAAACAUUUUCACCAAGGGAGUUAAGUUAGCACUUUACUAGAUCCUAAUGCAUAUGCUCAAGAUAUGGACCUAGUAGCACUUGAUUCGAGAGAUGACCGUGAUUUCCCCUCUUGAUAGUCGGCUAUUUAUCCUAAACCUGGUCAAUCACUUCUCUACUCAUCUUAGACCGGCAAAAGUAAAACCCUAUAUUUAUACCUUUGCCUUGUUCACUUUCUCCCUUGUCUGUCAUCAUGAUCUCCACAUCAUGCUUCAUCUCUUUGUAUUCAUGUGGCCACCUUUCCAUGCCACCAUGCACCUUCAUCACAUGUGUUGCUAUGCCUAACUCAAAUCACUUAAACACAAGGCAUUAGCAACUUGGUGUCAUUAAUUACCAAAACCAAACUUGGGCUUUCAAUCUCCCCCUUUUUGGUAAUUGAUGACAACCAUCACAAAGAUAUGAAAUGAAAUCAUAAUGAACUUGAAUUGCUUGUCCAAAGCAUUUUAAUCAUGAGACAAGGUUGGACAAACAUUUCAAUUUUGGUUUUGGUAGUACUAGCUCCCCCUACAUAUGUGCUUCCAUGAGUUUGGUUCAAGUUUGCACAUAUGCAUAAAUUAGAGUUUUGGGAGAUUUAUUACUACCAAAAUUAUGCUAAGGUAUAUAGAAUGGACCUUUGAAGCGUGAUACCAAUCGGAGUUGCCAAUAUACCAUCCUUAGCACCAAUGUAGCUAGACAUACAUCAAAAACUCAAUAUACCUCGUGAGAUCACAUUAUAUGUCUAGAUACCACAAGAAAAUAAAACUCUAUGCUAGAAUUCAAAACAUCAUUCAAGUUCUAUUUCUAGCAAGCACCAAUCAAACAAGAGUCGUGAAUUUAAAUUUGCAAUGCAACAACUCAUUAUGUUAGUGCACAUACAAAUGCAACAAAUGGUUCAUGAGCUUGCUCCCCCUAUUUGUGUGCUCAAGCUUAAAAAGUUUAAAAAGUUUUCUCUCCUUUUUUUUGUUUAUCUCCCUCUUUUUGACUUUAUCUUUGUUUCUCUCCCCCUUUGUCAUCAAUGACCACAAAGGUUCAAAAUUUUAGUGAGAAUUAAGUCAAUCAAUGUGAGGGUCAAAUUAUGGUUCAAUCUAGAUCACUUGCCUAGAACAUGUAAUUCGGUUUGAUCCAAGGACAAGCUUUUUCACACCUCAUAAAGUAUAAGGGUUAUCUUGACCAUGUUGAAUUACACAUCAUAAGCUCAUAUUCUAGAUUCAACGCUAGGCUUGCAAGCUCACAAACAUGUCAUAUGCUACCACUAGAUCAAUCAAUCAUAGAAGCAAUAGUGGUACCAUACAUACAUCAAAAUAUUUUUUUUUUCAUGAAUGAGCCUAUUUGUCAUGCAAAUAUGUCUAUAUGUUCUAAUCAUGUCCUUAGCAAAGUAUGAAUGAUAUGUCAACCAACUUUACCUUGCUUUGUUGGAGGAGAGGCAUGUCAUAUAUAAAUGUGGGGGCGCACUCAUCUCAAGUUGGAGAAGUCAAGUAUGUUCAAUUCAUUUCUUAACUUCCAAAAUCUCUUCUCAUCAAGUGGCUUCGUGAAGAUGUCGGCUAAUUGAUCUUCGGUCCCAAUGCUUUCAAUGCUAAUAUCACCCUUUUGUUGAUGAUCUCUUAUGAAAUGAUGCCUUAUGUCAAUGUGCUUGGUUCUUGAAUGUUGAACCGGAUUUUGUGUCAUUUUGAUUGCACUCUCAUUGUCACAUAGCAAAGGCACAUUCUUGAAUUUAAUUCCAAAGUCAUUCAAGGUAGCUUUAAUCCAAAGUAAUUGUGCACAACAACUACCGGCACUAAUGUAUUCGGCCUCGGCGGUUGAUAGUGCAACACUAUUUUGUUUCUUUGAUGACCAUGAAACUAGAGACCUUCCCAGCAAUUGACAAGUGUCACUUGUGCUCAUUCUAUCAAUCUUGUAUCCACCAUAGUCGGAGUCCGAAUAUCCAAUUAACUCAAAGUUAGACCCCUUGGGAUACCAUAAUCCAACAUCAUGAGUGCCUUUAAGAUACCUCAAUAUCCUCUUUGUUGCCUUCAAGUGACUUCCCUAGGUGAAGCUUGGUAUCUUGCACACUUGCACACACUAAACAUCACAUCCGGCCUUGAUGCGGUGACAUAGAGCAAACUUCCAAUCAUGGACCGAUAUAGCUUUUGAUCUACCAUGUUGCCACUUGCAUCACUAUCUAAUUGAUCAUUUGUGCCCAUAGGUGUGCUCAUUGGUUUAGCUUCUUGCAACCCAAACUUCUUGAUCAUGUCCUUGAUGUACUUUCCUUGACUUACAAAAGUGCCAUUCUUCAUUUGCUUGAUUUGAAGACCAAGGAAGUAACUAAGCUCUCCAAUCAUGGACAUCUCAAAUUCAUUUGCCAUCAUUUUUCCAAACUCUUCACAAAAGUCUUGAUUGGUUGAUCCAAAGAUGAUAUCAUCAACAUAGAUUUGCAACACAAACAAGUCAUUGCCUAGCUUCUUGGUGAAGAGGGUAGUGUCAACCUUUCCCAUCUUGAACCGUUUAGAGAGAAGGAAAUCUCUCAAUCUCUCAUACCAUGCUCUAGGUGCUUGCUUCAAACCAUACAAUGCCUUCUUGAGCUUGUAAACAUGGUUGGGUUUCUUGUCAUCUUCAAAACCGGGAGGUUGUUCAACAUAAACCAACUCAUUGAUGUAUCCAUUGAGAAAUGCACUCUUCACAUCCAUUUGAUAGAGCUUGAUGUUGUGGGCACAAGCAUAGGCUAAUAAUAUUCUAAUUACCUCCAAUCUUGCAACCGGUGCAUAUGUUUCUCCAAAGUCAAGACCUUCAACUUUAGUGUAGCCUUGUGCUACUAGUCUUGCUUUGUUUCUCACAACUACACCAUCUUGAUCUUGCUUGUUUCUAAAGACCCACUUGGUACCAAUCACAUUGUAGUUCUUUGGCCUCUCAACAAACUCCCACACUUGAUUUCUUGUGAAGUUGUUCAAUUCUUCAUGCAUGGCAUUUACCCAAUCAGAAUCUUUCAAUGCAUCUUCUAUCUUCUUUGGUUCCUCAAAUGAGACAAAUGAAUAGUGCUCACAAAAGGAAGCUAGCCUUGAUCUUGUUUGCACACCACUUUGAAUACCUCCAAUGACUUGAUCCAAUGGAUGAUCCCUUGCUAUACUAGUAGGUUGGAGUAUUGGGAGUUGAUUGCUUCCACUAGCUUGAUUUUGAUCUUGAUCAUCAUCAUGAGAGCCACUAGUACUAGCUUGAUUUGUAUCAAUUUGCACUUCUUGAUUGAUCAUGUGAAUGUCAUUAUCAUCAUCAACUUGCAUUGGCCUUAUGUCACCUACAUCCAUGUUCUUCAUUGCAUUAGCCAAUUGAUCUCCUCUCACAUCAUCAAGAUUUUGAACUUCAUUUUUAGAUCCCUCGGUUUCAUCAAACUCCACAUCAUGGACUUCUUCCAAUGUGCCACUUGCCAAGUUCCAAACUCGAUAUGCCUUGCUUGUGGUGGAAUAACCAAGUAAGAACCCUUCAUCACAUUUCUUCUCAAACUUGCUCAAUCUAGUGCCUUUCUUGAGAAUGUAGCAUUUGCAACCAAACACUCUAAAGUAUGCAAUGUUGGGCUUUCUUCCAUUCAAUAGCUCGUAUGGUGUCUUCCCAAGCUUCCCAUGGCAAUAGAGACGGUUGCUGUUGACACUUCUUAACGCAACCACCGGAUAUCGGCGACGGCGCCAGAAGUGCCCUGGUAGGGUAACUCUAUUUACUAUUGGAUAAUUCCGCAAGCGCACAGAAUGUACCGCUGUAGCACUUCACCAAGGAGUAUUCCAAGGUAUCGUAAUUUAUAUUUUCCCAAGGGAAAGCGGCUAAGUGUGUUUAACAAAAAGGGGAAUGAGAUUCCUUGAGUUGUCUAGUAUCAACUAGUGAAUAAGGGUGGUAAAUAACGAAUAGGAAGGGUAGUGGUGAAUCCAAGGUCCUAUGCUAAAGGUAAAUGGUAGAGUUAGCUAGGUGGGAGGACAACGAGUGAGUAAAGGACUCCUAUGUAUCUAACUUGACUUCUGUGACUUACUUUAAUAGAUAAUUGUCUUAACUACGCUAGAGCCUUACUAACUGUGUGCGAGGGAUAGCCGAGCUGGUAAGACGCUUAGAAGGUUUUUCACCUAACCCCUUACCGAAAGCGACUAUUGGGCUUAUGGACGCCUUACCUUUUAAGAACUAGCCUGUACGUGAGGAGAACCUAAUGCCGCCCACGAUCUGUCACCUACUAGGGAGUGCGCUCCUACUUUCCGUUCAAGCCAGCGGUAAUCAAAGGUAAUCUUAAGUAUGAGCACCACGCUCACACUUAAUCCUACAACGCUAACUAGUUGCAGCUAGCUAGAGCUCCUAUACAAGAUAGGACGAUGAUGCACACACAGGAGUGGUUACAGGUCACUAACUUCACUAAGACAACUAUAUUACUAAAGUAAAUGCACAACAAGACUAAAAGACUUGCACUAAGUAAGAACUCAGUAAAGUAAAGUAAGAAUAAUAUAUUAAUAAAAGGAAAGUCUUACAAAAGUAGAAAGGUACAAGAGCUAUACCAGACUCUCCAGAAGACGACUCCGGAGACCCCGAGCUUCGCUCGACUCGACUCUAACUCCCACUCUAGACUAACUACUACUCUACUUGUAUGCUUGGAACUUGUAAUGCACUUGGCCUUGGAAUUGCACACUUAAAAUGAAGGAUGGAGGCUGCCUUUUAUAGAGGGAGAUGGAGUAGGGGUUACUCCAUCGCCACGUCAUCGAUCCGCGUGACAUCUUCUCUCCACCCUUGGAUCAAACCGACCUCACAACCGCCAUUUGAUCAACGGCAGGGGCAAAUCAACAUGUGGGACAUGUGGGGAAGGUCGGUGGGAGGCCACCGACCCUGGAACCGCCUUUGAUGUGGGGUCGGGCGACCCCACUUCUGGGCCUCUGGGCCCACCAGCAGUGUCCACAGGGGUCCCUUAUGUCGGUGGACUAGGUGGCACACCUGGGUCCCACCAAAGAGGGGUCGGGCGACCCCCUCCCUGUGGGCCCAGGGUGUCACCUGUUGUCCCCUCGAUCUCCUCUUGAUGAUUCUGAUGUUGGCUUUGUCAAAUAAUGUCUUGAAUUUGUUGUUCCUGCAUAAACAAGCUAAGAGUACAAGUGGAACUAGUUAUGGAUAAAAUAUGUUCAUGUCAUGUCGUUUCCUCUUGCAACCGAGGCAUGUUGACGGUGUUUUGUAUGUGGAUUUCUAUGGUAUAUCCACCGUCAACAAGAUCCCCCAAGCUUAACCUUUGCUCGUCCAGAGCAAACAAUCAAACUUAGCCUCGGUGGAUCAGGUAUUGUUACUAUGUUCACAUUUCAAGAGUACCAUGUGUACAACAAAGUUCUUCUCUUUGCAUGAAAAAUUUAGCUAUGUAAACUUACCCCUAUUACCUUAGUCCCUUAUGGGGCUUAUGGCUUUUCCUUUGUCUUAGGUGGUUGAGAGACGGAACAGUUUGACUUGAGCACUAACUUUCUCAUUCUUAGCAAGUUUCAUAUCAGAGGUUUUGUGAUAUUUUCAAAAGAAAGUUUAAAUGUUCCUCUUAUGGUUCUCUCAUGUCACUCAAAUGGUGUAUGAUUCCUCACCAAGGCAUAUGGUAAGAGUUGCCUUCUCUAUUUCAUCCUAUUUCUAAAAGGCUUAUGUGGAGUUCAAGGUAGGGAUGAAAGGAGAUAGCAUACUUACUUUGCAUGUAUUGCGAAGUCAAAGCUCGGAUCCUUGAAGAGAAGUGUCAUACUCCCAGAUCAAGAUGUGCAAGUGUGAUAUAUGGUGGACUAGGUUGCUCCUUUAUUUGAUAGACUCUCUAUGUAUUGAGACAUGGCUAGCAUUUUUUUUCUUCUUUUUUUUUUAUAUAUGAGCUUUCAUGUGCUCAAUUUUCUUUUUCUGUGGACUUGCACAUGUCCAUCUUUUUAUUUCAUUUUGCCUAGCCUUUUGAUGUCUCAUUUACCAAAUAAUGCUUAGAGAGAUGUUCUAACAUUUAGAGUAUGGAGCAACCUAUUUAGUGGAUGCGAAAUACAUGUGGUUGCGUACUUCCAGUGUAGAAGCAGCAUAUAUAUAUAUGUGGUGUGUACGUGAUCUUGAUCUUAGGAGCAUGAAAAAGUCUCUUAACAAGGGUCAACAAGACUUGACGACACUCAACACAAAGCAAAUAGCUUAUGUGGAAAGGUUGCAAUUAUGUAAAGUAGAUAUGGCUGUGGUAGGAAUUCAUCACCAUUGAGGAACAAUUAAGGUUUUGAUCAUUUUAAGAAUAAAUCUCUGAUAAUCAUGCAUGCUUAGAAAAAUAUUAUAGUAGCUCUUGUCUUACUAUCUCAUGUCCCACAACAACUUAGACUUAGUUCUAGCACUUGCAACCCACAAAGUUUUUAGGUUCAUGGCAGUUUAAGUGAGCUAAGUGAUCCAUACUUAGAGAAAUACUAAGUUGUAUACUAGGCACUAGAGAAACAUUAACAAGCAACUAGUCAUAAUUUCCAUGAGGGAUAUAAACAUACAUGAAGCAUAUAUGCUAAAGGGAAAUGCUAAUAAAUAUUUUUUUUAAGUAAGAAUGAUAAAAUGCAUGAAAAUAAAUAGGAUAGAAUACUUACCUUAGUGGGGGAGAGGAUCUCCCCCAAGCUAGAUCUUCGCUCACUGUGGUGGCGGGAAAUUUUGGUACCAUCCAGCCCAGCGUUGUGCGUCUUCCUCUCGCACACGUCGGAUAUGUUGGCCGUUUUGUAACGCCAGUUGCAAUGUUGCUUCUUGCCCAAUCUGCAAUUCGCCCAUGUCAUUAAUGAGACUGUCCAUACCUGUGGGCUGGUGACGCCUAGCCCUGUCCCUUGGGCGUGGAGUGCGUUGUGGAGGUAGACCCAUGGAGUCUGAAGCAUCCACUGACAUCGCUCCAUCGCCCUCUUCAACGUCAUGGUGCGAGGAUCCUCCUUGCUCCAUCUGGGCGGCUUGCAUCAUCCUUCUUGUCACCCUGCGUGUCCCUGCAAUAUCUGGACUUGCCACUCGGGCUAGUCUAAUGGUAAGUGUGCGGACCCCAUACAACCGGCGCCUCGCACAUGGGAGAGGAAUUUCGGUUGUAUAGCCCGGAUAAAUCAUUUUAAGUUCACCAUUUGGAUCUCUUAUGAGCAUGUUAGCAUUGAUAAAGAAGUUCUCAUCUACCACUCCUCUAACAUAGCCAAUGUCUUCAAAAUAAUGUGAUUCAAGUAAUCCAAAAGUAUCGGCUAUUCGAGUAAUAAAGGAUGUGAAAUAGAUGGGCUUCCCAUACUCAAUAGAGUUAAGCCAAUAGUUCACUAGCAGUUUCACAGGGGAGACCUUGAUUUUACUAACCAUGGCAUAGAGAAUUUUAAGUUCAUCAUCAAUUAAAGUAUCAGUUCCCAUGCCAGGAUAUAGAGUGCACAUGAUCCAGAAGUGAAGAAAGCGCAAGGUUGGAUUAUGGAUUUCAAUGGGAGUAGGAUUUGAACAAUCAUUAGAGCCAGAAAUUGCUUUCCAAAAUCUAAAUUUAUCGAACAUUCUAGUGGCAUGAUCUAGAUCAAGUUCACAUUCAUGUUCACACCCUAAAGCAGUGUUUAGCAAACUCCAAUUUAAUUGAUGUUCUUGCUCACACAUGCGAAAAGAUAUUCCAUUAUUUGUGAGUUUUAGGGUGCAUAGAAAUUCCUUAGCAAGCAAUUCUUUUCCAAAUUCAGGCACUUGCCAAAAACUACUCCAACCAAUUGCUCUAAACACCUUAUCGAAUUCAACAUCCAUACCUGUGCGGGCCAAAAGGUCCGGAUCGAUGAUGCUAGUGUGUAGGAAGAGACCCUCUCGGAUGAUGUAGUACCUUUGCAACUCUUCUUGGCUUAACAUGAGGCCGCUCUCGGGCUCUCUCAUCCUUGAUGGAGGCUCGUAGGGUACCAUCCCAUGGUAACCUUCUUCUUCCUUCCUUCCAUGAGCAUGGUGAGAGCCUUGAGAAGAGCUCUCACCCUUUGCUUUCUUGAACUUGCCGAAGAUAUGCUUCUUCAUCCUCCUACACAAGUGAGGCAAACCAAGCUCCUACUACUACUACUAUGCAAGGGGAAUCUUUUUGGGUUUUUGUUUUGAUGACUAUUUCUAAACUAAACUUGAGAAAUGGCUUGUAACAAAGAGAGAAGAGAAAGGAUUGUGAGCUCGAAAUGGUUCUGGUGGUUUUGGGUGUGGAGUUGAGCUCACAAUGCUGUGGUAUUUAUAGGGGGAGAAGGGCAAGUAGUGGACCCACAAUAUAGGGGUCGGCCGACCCCCCCUAGAAGCACUUUGAAUUUGAGUUUAGCUUUAUACAGGGAACCAUUCUGCAUGCUUUCAAGAUUUUGCAGAGAUGGUCCAAAAUGGGGGUCGGCCGACCCCCAUCCUAGCCCCUCCUCCACUUUAAACAUUGUGUCAUUGAUUGUCCGGAAAAGUAAAGGCUAGGUGUGGACCAAAAGUUUUCAAAUUGUUUCUGAGAUUCCCUGUUUUAGUGCUUUGUGAAAGGUAAAAGAUGAAUGGCAAAAGUGGAGACAUGUCUAAAGUGAUUCCUAUGGACCAUGGGAGCACUCAAGCAUGCCUAGGUGACCACUUUGCAGAAUUUAAGCUAGUGGAGUGGUCCCAAAAGAAUCAAAGAUGAAAGGAGCAUCUUAUGACUAAAGUAAAGGAUCAAGGGACCACUCUUUUUCAAACUUUAGCUAGUGUUACAAGCAUAGGACUCCAUUGUGAUUCAAAUGGUGGCCAGCAGGAGGCAAGUGGGGCCAAUAUGGGGGUCGGCCGACCCCCACAUUGGAGCUCCCAGAGCAUCCAAGUGCUGGGUUGGAACCUCUAUGACUAGCAAGGUUGAAAUGUGGUGAAGUGGGCCCCAAGGUGGGGUCGGGCGACCCCCCUUUGGGAGCUCCAGCAGCUCAAAUUUUUAUGACAAGUUAUUCUCAAGAUUUUAUUUAUUAUGGCUAAACAUUUUGUCGAAAUAAGAUAUGCAAAAUUCAAAGUAAGAAAGCAAUUGAAAAGUGAAUAGUAGAAAUUGAAAUGCAGAAAAUAAAUAUGGGAUAACUACUGAUUUACCUUAUCAGCAAGGGCUCCAUGUUUUAGGUCCGUAGAGCAGGACCUCUCCAUCUUGUUCAUCCUUCGGGUGCAUCAGAUGGUCCCGGAGACGUGGACCUUGAUUGCACCUCUUUCUCCCGCCAUACUUGCUUGGUAUUGAUUUUUGGUUCAGCGGGUUCCUCUUCUUUCUUUUCGGCCCUUUUGGCCGACUUACCUCUCUUGUCCCUUCGGCGUCGGAUGUGGCGAGGCUUAGUCGGAGGUUCUUUGUCCUUCACCUGCAUGUUAGCUUUAUAACCAUUGAAUGGACAUUUUACCUUCCAUCCUGGGAAUUGGAGGUGAAUCUGGCCGGACCCCACAUAGAUGACUGCAUUGACCGUGUUGAGGAAUGGCCUUCCCAAGAUGAUCGAGACAUCAUUAUUGGAUCCCAUAUCUAGAAUGAUGAAGUCGGCAGGGACGUAGUCGUCUUGAACUUUUACCAGUAUGUCCCUUGCCAACCCCUCAGGGAACCUGAUCGUCUGAUCUGCCAUCUGCAAACGAACAAAUGUGGGGUGCAAAGGCCCCCCUAGCAAAUUAUCAUAAGUUACCUUGGCCAUGAUGUUGACACCCGAUCCAAGGUCGCAGAAGGCGUUGUGGAAGAUUUGCGGUCCGAUCUCACAGGUGAUGGUCGGCAGGCCUGGGUCGUCCUUCUUGGUGAUGAAGGGCGAAUCCAGAAGAUAGCUCCAGUUGGAUUGUACCGGAGGCUUACCGAACCUCGUAGUAACUAGUUUAACUCCUUCAAUUGGGUCCUCAGGUUUCCCUGGGAUCUUACCUUGCUCGAAGGAUGGGACAGCUGCUGCUAAUUGAGCUAAUUGUGUUUCUAGCAUUUUGUUAAAGCUCAACUGAUUUUUCAUACCAGAGUUAAAGUUAUCCAACUUUUCACUUAAGUUUUCAAGGAUCUUAUCAUUAGCCAUCAUUUUCUUGUUAAUGCUAUCAUUGAUUUUAGAUUGGCCUAAGACAAGAUCUCUAAGAGAAGGUUAGUUACCAAAAGAAUUAUUGAAAUUUUGAUUGUAACCAUUACCUUGAUUACCUUGGUAGAAGGGGCGCGAGUUCCAUUGCUGUUGUUGGGGCCGGUACCCAUUGUUGUUGUUGUUGUUGAUGAAGCUCACUUCCUCCUUUGUUUCGGGACAAUUGUUUCCCGAAUGAUCAUCUCCUCCGCACACUUCGCACCAUGAAUCAGAUUCAAUGGCCCGUGCAGUGGCGUAAGGUUGAAUGGUCUCUUGCUUGGAACUUUCUUCCAUCUUCUUCAUUAAGAGGUUCAUCUUAGCAGAGAGCAUGUCCACCUCAUUCAAGGCAUGGACACCUCUUCUCUUGGGUUGGAGGCGUUCCUCAUUCCAUCCUUGGUUUAUAACCAUCUUUUCAAUGAGGUCCUUGGCAUCCUUGACAUUGUGUUGCAAGAAUGCUCCUCCAGCGGCAGCAUCAAGGUGACUACGGGCCAAACCGGUCAGGCCAUGGUAGAAACCUUGGAUUAGGAGCCACUCCUCUAUCCCAUGAUGAGGACAGGCGCGAAUGUACUCCUGCAGACGUUCCCAUGCUUCGGGAAUCGUCUCAUCUGCUUGCUGUUGGAAGCUGGAAAUCUUUCCACGAAGGGCGCUGGUCUUGCCCAUCGGAAAGAACUUCUUGAGAAAUGCAUUGGCGCACCUCUCCCACGUGGUCACUUCACCCUUGUUGGCGUAGAACCAUUGCUUCGCCUUCCCCAAUAACGAGAAUGGGAAGAGGCGAAGACGGAUGGCGUCUGCGGCGACAUUCUUGAUGGUGAAGGUGCCGCACACCUCCAAGAAGUGUUGGAGAUGGGCAUUGGCAUCCUCGUGUGGCUUUCCACAGAAGGGAUUAGCUUGCACCAUAUUGAUAAGCGCAGGCUUCAACUCAAAAGUCGCAUCCCCCAAGUUAAGCUGCGGACCCGUGGCGACAUUGUCAGCCGACGGCGCAGAGUACUCAGAGAUGGUCUUCUGGGCCAUAGCUUCUUUGAUAACCGGUGCAGAUACUCCUUCCUCUAACGGAUUCAGGUUCGAGAUGAACCUUUGAGGUGGAACUUGACGACGUCUAGUUCUCCUCAACAGUUGCUCAGGAUCUUCAACGAAGUUUGACGGCAAUUGGAAACCGCUCAUACACUGUCAGGCUUCACAAUAAAGGAAGACAAGACAAGUGAUGGGUUAUCCCUAUCACUACUUGAUAACUAGCAAACUCUGGAUUCUCUUUUUGUUAAAACUCUUAGACAGACGUUGUCCCCGGCAACGGCGCCAGAAAUGCUUGUUGACACUUCUUAACGCAACCACCGGAUAUCGGCGACGGCGCCAGAAGUGCCCUGGUAGGGUAACUCUAUUUACUAUUGGAUAAUUCCGCAAGCGCACAGAAUGUACCGCUGUAGCACUUCACCAAGGAGUAUUCCAAGGUAUCGUAAUUUAUAUUUUCCCAAGGGAAAGCGGCUAAGUGUGUUUAACAAAAAGGGGAAUGAGAUUCCUUGAGUUGUCUAGUAUCAACUAGUGAAUAAGGGUGGUAAAUAACGAAUAGGAAGGGUAGUGGUGAAUCCAAGGUCCUAUGCUAAAGGUAAAUGGUAGAGUUAGCUAGGUGGGAGGACAACGAGUGAGUAAAGGACUCCUAUGUAUCUAACUUGACUUCUGUGACUUACUUUAAUAGAUAAUUGUCUUAACUACGCUAGAGCCUUACUAACUGUGUGCGAGGGAUAGCCGAGCUGGUAAGACGCUUAGAAGGUUUUUCACCUAACCCCUUACCGAAAGCGACUAUUGGGCUUAUGGACGCCUUACCUUUUAAGAACUAGCCUGUACGUGAGGAGAACCUAAUGCCGCCCACGAUCUGUCACCUACUAGGGAGUGCGCUCCUACUUUCCGUUCAAGCCAGCGGUAAUCAAAGGUAAUCUUAAGUAUGAGCACCACGCUCACACUUAAUCCUACAACGCUAACUAGUUGCAGCUAGCUAGAGCUCCUAUACAAGAUAGGACGAUGAUGCACACACAGGAGUGGUUACAGGUCACUAACUUCACUAAGACAACUAUAUUACUAAAGUAAAUGCACAACAAGACUAAAAGACUUGCACUAAGUAAGAACUCAGUAAAGUAAAGUAAGAAUAAUAUAUUAAUAAAAGGAAAGUCUUACAAAAGUAGAAAGGUACAAGAGCUAUACCAGACUCUCCAGAAGACGACUCCGGAGACCCCGAGCUUCGCUCGACUCGACUCUAACUCCCACUCUAGACUAACUACUACUCUACUUGUAUGCUUGGAACUUGUAAUGCACUUGGCCUUGGAAUUGCACACUUGAAAUGAAGGAUGGAGGCUGCCUUUUAUAGAGGGAGAUGGAGUAGGGGUUACUCCAUCGCCACGUCAUCGAUCCGCGUGACAUCUUCUCUCCACCCUUGGAUCAAACCGACCUCACAACCGCCAUUUGAUCAACGGCAGGGGCAAAUCAACAUGUGGGACAUGUGGGGAAGGUCGGUGGGAGGCCACCGACCCUGGAACCGCCUUUGAUGUGGGGUCGGGCGACCCCACUUCUGGGCCUCUGGGCCCACCAGCAGUGUCCACAGGGGUCCCUUAUGUCGGUGGACUAGGUGGCACACCUGGGUCCCACCAAAGAGGGGUCGGGCGACCCCCUCCCUGUGGGCCCAGGGUGUCACCUGUUGUCCCCUCGAUCUCCUCUUGAUGAUUCUGAUGUUGGCUUUGUCAAAUAAUGUCUUGAAUUUGUUGUUCCUGCAUAAACAAGCUAAGAGUACAAGUGGAACUAGUUAUGGAUAAAAUAUGUUCAUGUCAUGUCGUUUCCUCUUGCAACCGAGGCAUGUUGACGGUGUUUUGUAUGUGGAUUUCUAUGGUAUAUCCACCGUCAACAGUUGCUACAAUAGCAAGCCGUGUUGAUGGCUUCACUCCAAAAUGAAUGGCUAAAAUUGUACUCACUAAGCAUUGAUCUAGCCAUAUCAAUCAAGGUUCUAUUCUUCCUUUCAACUACACCAUUGGAUUGAGGAGUGUAUGUUGGAGAGAAUUGAUGUCCAAUGCCAAGAUCAUCACAUAAUUCCUCAAUUCUUGUGUUCUUGAAUUCACUACCAUUGUCACUUCUAAUCUUCUUGAUAGUGGUUUCAAACUCAUUUUGCACCCUCUUGACAAAAGACUUGAAUAGAUCACAAACAUCACUCUUAUCAUAGAGGAAGAACACCCAAGUGUAUCUAGUGUAGUCAUCUACUAUCACAAAUCCAUACUUGUUGCCACCAAUGCUAGUAUAUGUUGUUGGCCCAAAUAAAUCCAUGUGCAAAAGCUCAAAUGCCUUUGAUGUGCUCAUUUCACUUUUCUUAGGAUGUGCAUUUCCAACUUGCUUUCCGGCUUUACAAGCACUACAUGGUUUAUCCUUCUCAAAGGUGACAUCCUUCAAGCCUCUAACUAAGUCAUGCCUCAAUAGUUUGUUCAAUUGUUUCAUUCCAACAUGACCAAGCCUUGUAUGCCACAACCAACCCAAACUUGAUUUGCUAAUUAGGCAUGAUGUCAAUUGAGUGUCACUAUCAUUGAAAUCAACCAAGUAUAAGCUACCAUGCCUAAAUCCUUUGAAUAUCAAGUUUGAUCCAUCAACACUAACAACCUCAACAUCAUCACUUCCAAAGAUGCACUUGAAACCAAGGUCACAAAGUUGUGCAAUAGACAAGAGAUUGAAAUCAAGGCUUUCAACUAGCAACACAUUUGAUAUGCUCAUGUCAUUUGAGAUAGCAAUUUUACCAAGCCCCUUGACCUUGCCUUUCUUGUUGUUACCGAAGGUAAUUGAAUCAAAGCCACCAUUUUGACUAGUAUCAAUUGAUUUAAACAUACAAGACUCCCCGGUCAUAUGUUGAGUGCACCCACUAUCAAGCACCCAAUGCCUUCCUCCGGCUUUGAAAAUGACCUACAAGACAAGAUCAAUUCCUUUUAGGUACCCAAACUUGAUUGGGUCCUCCAAGGUUAGCAACUAAGCUCUUUGGUACACAAAUGGCUUUCUUCUUUGAGCCCAUCUAUGGUGCACCAAUGAACUUAGCAUGAAUACCUUUUGUAUCCUUGGUAAGCACAUAGAAAGAAUUAAGCUUAAUUGAGGAUACAUAAGCUUUGGGUUUCUUGUUCAUGCAUUGUUGCUCUAGUUGACCAACUUGCUUGCAAGCUUUGCAAUACCGGCCAUUUUUCUUCACAAAACUAAUCUUGUGAGGAGCAAAGGCGGCCUUGCCUUUCUUGGGGUUAUAGCCUAAUCCCUCUUUAUAGAGAGAAGCUCUUUGGCUACCCAAGCACAUAAGCAAGCGGUCCUCACCACCAUAAGCCUUGGCUAAGGUGUGAUUGAGCUCUUUCACCUCCUUCUUGAGAAUUUCAUUCUCAACUUUAAGUGUGGUCUCACAUGUGAAACCAUCACCACUCGAUGAGGAUGAUGUAGAUGAGCUACAUGAAGGGUUAGUAGAAGCAACAACAAUAGGGUUGCUUAAGAUAUCACAUGUUAUGCCUAUGUUGCAAGUUUGAGCUUUUUCAAUUUUAGUUGGCUCAUUUUCACAUUUGUUAACUAGAGAGGAAUGAGCUUCUUCAAGCUUAUUGUGAGCCUUUUGAAGCUUCUUAUGGUCUUCCUUUAGACUCUCAUAAGAUGCUCUAAGCUCAUCAAGUUCUUGUUCAAGGGUUUUCUUAUCCUUAAGCAAGGCCUUGCACUCCUUUCUAGUUUCUUUAUAAUGAUGAGUGCAAUCUUCUAGCAUAGUGAUUAGUUCAUCUUUAGUUGGUUCGUCAUCAUCACUAUCACUAUCACUAGCAUGGUCACUCUCAUCAUCGGAUGAUACCUUAGUGGCCUUAGCCAUGAAGCAUGAUGGAGUGUCGAAGAUGGAGCUCUUUUCUUGAAUGGCAAUGCUAGCAUGCGCCUUCUUCUUAGUGCUCUCAUCAUCACUUGAGGAGUCAUCACUAUCCCAAGUUGCAACAUGGGCAUCACCCUUCUUCUUGUUUGAGCCUUCCUUCUUUUCUUGCUUCUUCUUUUGCUUCUUCCUUUCCUUCUUGAUAGCAUCUUCAUCAUCACUAUCAUAAGGACACUUGGCGAUGAGAUGAUCCUUGCUAUGGCAUCUAAAGCACCUCAUGGAGUAAUCAUUCUUCUUAGAAGAGUUCUUCUUUCUUCUUGCUCGAUAGCCUUUCUUCUUCAUGAACUUGCCAAAUCUCUUGACAAGAAGAGCCAUCUCCUCAUCUUCAUCACUAUCACAAGAGCUUGCUUCUUCUUCACUUGAUGAUUCUUGCUUAGCUUUGCCCUUGGAUGUGGAGGCCUUGAAUGCCACACUCUUCUUCUUCUCAUCAUCCCUCUUUUCACCUUCCUUCUUCCUUUUCUUGACCAACUCAUCCUUCUCAUCAUCUUCUCUAUAAGCAUCAUCGGUCAUUACUUCUUGGAACACUUGUUGGAGAGUUGAUUCACUAAGUGUUGUCUUGACUAGCACGGUGAUCAAUGUGUCAAAUCUCUUGGGCAAGCUUCUCAAGAAUUUCAUAGAGAAUUGACUAUCUUUCACUUCUUCCCCAAGUGCCUUGAGCUCAUUCACGAUGACUUGCAACCGGUGAAACAUCUCCGGCACACUUUCAUCCUCUUGCAUCUUGAAGCUUGAGAACUUUUCUUGGAGGAUGUAUGCUUUGGCGGUCUUGGUUCCCUUGGUUCCCUCAAAUGUUUCUUCUAAUUUUGCCCAUGCAUCAUAAGCAAUCUCAAUAUUCUUAAUUUGCUCAAAGGUCUUGUCUUCAAGAGCUUCAUGAAGAGCACUAAUGGCAAUAUCAUUGCAUUGUAGCUUCUUCUCUUCGACCGGUGUUGGUGCAUUUUCAUUUGCAACCUCAAACUUUGUUUCGGUCACCUUCCAAACCUCUCUAUUGAUUGACUUGAGAUGAGCGGUCAUCUUGGACUUCCAAUAUGCAUAAUUGGUGUCAUCAAAGUAAGGUGCCUUCUUUGUGUUGUUGAUAUGCAAACUAAGAGCCAAUUCUUCACCGUAGGUUGUUAAGCCUCAAAUAAACGGUGCCUCGGCUCCGAUACCACUUGAAAGGUCCAAAUGGCUAGAGGGGGGGUGAAGUUAUGUUUUUCCAGAAAAUAGAAAAUCGGUUUUUAAAAAUCGGCUUUUUUUCGUGUAAAAUCGCGUGCUUCGCGGCCGGUGGGAUUCGAACCUGAGACCUUGCCCUUGCGCGUAGCCUCCUCUACCACUCAACCUAUCACUCACUUGUGUCUAUAUUAGAGUUUAGUUCCCCACAUAUUAUCCCAAACCGAGCAUAUAUUGAUUAUUUGAGGCUCUAAACGGAUUCCAACGGAAAAGUUGUCAACUACAAAGUUUCAUAACUUUUUAAGAUCUACGACUUUUAUGUUUUUUCAUCCGAAGUCAUUUACAAAAUUUGAAUUUCAAAUUUAAGAAAUUCAAACGUAGUUUUCGACGACAAGAUGAUGUCAAAUGGAAAAAUUAUCAACUACAAAGUUUCAUAACUUUUCGUGAUCUAUAACUUUCAUUUUGACAGUUUUUUCAAACAAGGUCAUUUGAAAACCUCAAAAAAUUAAAUUUCAAAUGAUUUCUACAGGCGGUUCAGUUAGGAAAACCGCCUGUAAAAAUGCAUCUUCACAGACGGUUCGUAGUUCUGACACCGCACCUUUUACACCACAGACGCGUGAUAACUACAACCGCCUGUAGUAUAAAAAAUGGGCGUCGGCGUUGUACUCUUUUCUACUAGUGUUGGAUCCAAACUGUGACGACGAUGUUGACCUUGAUGUAUGUAUUUUAUUGACUUUGAUGCAAACUCCAUGGGAUCCGGUGUUGCUGGACUCAUCGGAUCAAUGCAUGUGCGCAUCAAACGAAGUAGCAACUUGCAUACCUGAAUUGAAGCUACAACUACAUCAGAUAUGCAUGCAUCGUAGUACGUGAAUAUAUAUACAAACACCAUUAUCGUAUUUUAUGGAUCAAAACAAAAGAAAGGCAUAUAGCACUACACCAUUUAUAUCCCUAGCUGCUUAACGGCCUGUUUGAUGAGGCUAAGCUUUACCUAGCUAGUUCUAAAACUUAGCUAAAAUUAAACCUAGCGCAUUAAAAUAGUGUGACAGAAUUAUUUUUUAGCUAAAUAUAUUUAACUAGUUGUUAGUUAGUACGUGCCAUUUAAUUAAUUUAAAUUAGUUUUUAGUAUAACUAUUCAUCGAUUCCAGAGAGAUCAGACAGCAUCAGGACCGGAUCCAUAUACUUCCUCCAUACCUAUAAUACUUGACGUCAGUUUUAAGAAAAGUUGACGUUGUGGCCACUAGAGGCUUAAACGUGACGCAUUUGCCCCUGCGCCUCUUCGGCUGCCGCAACGCUUGCUGUGAUGAUUGGGUUUCGAACUCUGCACCCGCAAAUCGUGGUCACAGAGAGCUGCUCUAGCCAGUUGGGCUAGACAACUAUCUUGUGUGAAGAGCAGUCAUAACUCUAUUUAAUAGGGGUAGAGAUGGAAAAAUACCCUCUAAUUAAUCACUCCUUGGUAAGUACAAUCAUGUCCUAAACGUCAAGAAUUUCAGGAUUCAGAAAUAGAGGGAGUACAAUCUCUUUUGCUGAUAUGCAUGGUCAGCCUCACGUGAAACAAGGUACUUUGAUCUAGGAGUACAGGCCACUCGCAAAUCGAAACUUGGCUCCUGUGGCACUACGGCAUCUGAAACUAAUAAAUAGUCUCUGUUGCAUACGGUGUGCACAUGAAUGAAUGAAUGAGGCCGGGUACCCACUAGGCAAUUUUCCAGUUCUACCUUCAUAUAUCUUCCACUUGGUCAAAUUCGCACUAGUUAAUUAGGCUCGUUUUCAGCCUGUCACUAUUAAAAAGAGAAAGUGACCCUGCAAAAGAUAUAAAAAUAUCAAAGUCACAAUGUCGGCAGCAUCUAUCGAAUUAAGUGUCUAUUUACUUUGUCAGUCCCAAUGAAAAAAAGUCAUAGUAAUUUGUAUAGUUUAGGACACUACCAAGAAACUAUUCUUACCGGUAUAAAUUUUUUUACUACAGUCUAGAUAUAAAUUUUCUCAGUCAUCGAACGUGUUCCUCUCUUCCAUAUGUGGAUCCUGUGUGCAGUUGCCUUUUCUUUUAAUUCUCUUCCGUUUCUUGUUACACAUACACAAGAAUGUUCAACCAAUUAGAAAACAUUAAUCACUAAACUGAAAAGUUAGAUGGGACUACACAAAGAAGAACAUAACAAAAAUAAAAAAAACACUGAAGUGCUUGACAAAUGUAAUUUGAGCAGCUAGCGAUACGCACAAAUCAAAAUAGCUGAAUGCAACACCUGAUCACGGCACGUUGCAGCGAACCGAGCGCCGAGGCCCUUGCCGGCCGGCACUGCACCUGCUGCCUCGGUAAGGAUGGGGACGGUGCUCUAAACGGAUACCUGCGGAUCUUCUCUAGUGUAACUGAAUGAAGUAAAUAAAAAAAUGAGAAAAAAAUUGUCUAUUUAGUUCAUAAAUUACACUAGAGAAGAACCGCGGAUAUCCAUUUGUAGGGCCACCCCCUCCUUACGCCUCGGGCUCCAGUGAGGCCGGCUCCACUGCUGGCGCAGGAGGUGAAGGCAAAGGAGGUGACCGGCUCCAAACAUGAACUUACGAGGGCCAUCAACGAGAGCUGCAAGCGAGGAGUAGCGGCGAUGCGAACGAAGGCCAUCAACGAGCACAUGCAACUAGAGCAUGAGAUCUGGACCGAUAAGGAAGGAAACCAUCAGUUUCUUCCCAACACGAUUUGCGUCGUUUCCUCAUGCAUGGAUACCUGAGAAGACUUCGUUUUCUAUCAAGAAAACAGUUUCUCUGUUUUCUCUUUUCCCUCUAUAAUAAAUCUACUGUCAUAUCAACAAUUUGUGCAGUUGGCAAAGUAACUAAUAGAGAUAAAAGCUAUCAUAAAUACUCCAUUGAGACAGCCCUAAAAUUGCAAUAUGAUUUUUUUCAGGCUGUACAAGUUUUUGGCACUCUCCUAUAUUACUACACAUAAUUUUUUGAUGUAAAGUUGAUGUUAUUACUUUUGUAUUUGAAAUAGUUAUUUAUAAUUUGAUUUUGUAAAAUAACUGUAUAUAUAGAGGAUAUUUUUGCAAUAGUUUGGCAAUAAAUGAAUUGGAUAUUUCCAAGAGGAUAUCUCCAAGAGUUUGUCAAGAGGAUAUUUUUGCAAUAGUUUGACUAAGCUAAGGGAGCAUAUGCAUGCAUGUAGUAAACUGUGCUCAUGUUGCACAUAGAUUCAAGUGGCCGGCCUGGUAACGUGGCCUCGAAAAAGGGAAACCAGAGGACUGUUGCCCGUAUUCCCAACUCAACUCGAAGGAAAAAAAAUAAUUAAGCAAGCAUGCAGCAUCCAUGCACGUUAAUUUAAAUAACAAAGGUCAAUGCUUCACAUAUGCAUCAGUAUGUAGCUGAGUCAUGCAUGCCUGCUUUGCUGGCGAGUGUACUAUACCCAACAAUGUGUAUUGUUAAAGGUUUUUGCUGCCUAUAAAUAGCUUGGGCCACCCAAAGCUUCAUCAUCCUCCGAUCCAUCCAUCUCUCGCCCAUAUCUAGUCUAGAUACUAAUAGCUUAGAAGCUAGCCCCACAUCUCGGUCGAUCAUAUCUCAACAAUGGCUUCUCGUGCCGCCACGCUGAAGAUGGCCACUGCAACUGCCCUUGUCCUGCUGGUCCUGCUAUGCAUGGCGACCUCACCUGUGACUGCCUGUACCACCACCUGUCAAUUCGCCUGUGGUACCUUUGCUAUACAAGUCUGCGGUACUUGUUCCACUACCACGACAUGCAUCACUGAGGCUGAAAAGGUGUGUAUCAAGACCUGCACCGAAACCUGGUGCGGUAAGGUAUUCCUGCCAUGCCUCUAAGAAUAUGCAUGCAUGGAUUCGGAUCGGAUGGCUUAAUCGAUCUAUUCCGACUUCCUCGCUAGCGCAUGGUUGUUGUUGCAGAGAAUAAAGGUGAGUGCAUGCAAGGAGGCAGCCCUCUCCCCGUGUGGUAUGUGGGGGAGGGCUUGCAUGCAUGCAUGAUGAUCCACGUUACAUUUUCCAUUUAUAUUCUAGUUAUAUUAUCUUAUUAUCAUCGCAUAUUUCUGCCGCGGGCAUGAUGCAUGGCGCGUACAAUAAGACGACGUCCUACUAGCGUAGGAGUAUUGUAAACCUCUCUCCAUGCAUGUAUAAAUGGAAGGAGGAUUAAUAAUUAAUAUAGUGCGUGCCCAUCUUAUGCCGUUGUGCAUGUCAACAUGUAAUUCCUCUCAGGUUCUACCAGGGGCUUGUGGGAUAUAUACGAUCAUGGUAUUAUCAUUAUAUGUAAUUUAUGAACUUCCCUAUUAUGAUGAUAUAAUAUUGUCCAGAUUAACAAGGCAGCUAGCUUC
RNAcentral lists this long non-coding RNA (67820 nucleotides) under Sorghum bicolor (sorghum). Its description in RNAcentral is "long non-coding RNA (SBIC_LNC015030)". The stretch from base 6017 to 6125 matches the Rfam family "Plant small nucleolar RNA R71". Lineage: Eukaryota; Viridiplantae; Streptophyta; Magnoliopsida; Poales; Poaceae. The record is from RNAcentral.